CACCCUUUCCUCGAAAAUAUAUACAUCAGAGAUAACACCUAUGAUUCUCUUUCAUUAUCCUUCUCCUUAAGCAUCUUCCCAAGAUUGCGUUGUUUUGAAAUCAGUAAGCUUCAGGGGGUUGAAUUCCUCUAUAUCUCCAUUUCAGAGGGGGAUCUCACAUCUCUUAAUUCUUUGAAUAUCUCACGGUGCCCUGAUGUUGUAUAUAUUGAAUUGUCGACUCUCGACCUAGCAAGUUAUGAGAUCUCCGGAUGCUUGAAGCUCAAGUUAUUGAAGCACACCCUCUCAACUUUGCGGUGUUUGAGGUUAUUUCAUUGUCCAGAAUUGUUGUUUCAGAGGGAUGGCUUGCCCUCCAACCUACGUGAACUUGAAAUUUCAUCCUGCGACCAACUCACAUCUCAGGUGGACUGGGGUUUGCAAAGAUUGGCCUCUCUUACAAGAUUCAAUAUCAGGGGUGGAUGCCAAGAGGUUCAUUCUCUUCCCUGGGAGUGCCUACUGCCCUCCACAAUUACCACUCUCAGAAUUGAAGGACUUCGAAACCUCAAGUCUCUAGACAGUAAGGGGCUUCAACAACUUACCUCUCUCUCAAACUUAUACAUUGGCGACUGCCCUGAGUUCCAAUCCUUUGGAGAAGAGGGGCUUCAACAUCUCACCUCCCUUAAAACAUUAUCCAUUAGCUGCUGCCCUGAGCUCAAAUCUUUAACAGAAGCAGGUCUUCAACACCUUAGCUCACUUGAAAAAUUGCUGAUCUUCGACUGCCCGAAGCUCCAAUACCUGACGAAAGAGAGACUGCCAAACUCCCUCUCUUCUCUGGUUGUUUACAAAUGCUCUUUGCUGGAAGGUCGCUGCCAAUUUGGGAAAGGCCAAGAUUGGCAGUAUGUAGCUCACAUUCCACACAUAAUCAUCAACGAUGUGUUAUACUGAUGAAGAUGGAAAUAUAUCAAUGUCAAUCAGGUACUUGUUCCAUACUCAAAAUAACUUCCUUUAAAAUAAAAAAUGAUGUGGCAAUUAUUAAGUUUAUGCUUCAAAAUUUCUUAUCAUCUCUAUAGUGCUUCCUUGUUCUCUAUAAGGUUUGGUUGAUUUGGCUAUGGUCAUAAAGGCAUGGUGCCAAGCAGCUCUCAGGAUAUUCUAAGUGACUUGGUCUUCUUGAGCCUCAAUCAUGAUUUAUGGUUAGUGAAAUAUUUUAAUUCUCUUUGAUCCUUUGUCAUGAUCUAUUAUGGAUUUGUACUUGUAGAGACUUCAUUUUCGACUUCCCGAUGGACCAACAGUGGAGACCUCACAAGUUUUUCUUAAUCAUGACUGCAUCAUUUUGUAGGUUCUCGUUUGGCUAAUACUUUCCAAUAGUUAAAGCAUUUGUGCAGUGAUGUAUAUCAUGCUUUAUGUCAAUUUACAAAAAAAUUGUUAUAAGGGAUCUUCCAGAUGGAAGGUGGAGUGAGGAAGAUGUCGUUGUUUUAGUGCCCCGACUCAUUGUUCUUAUUGAACGCAAAGUAUCUUAAUGGUACUGCCUGCUCAAAUUUUACUGAGAUUGCUCUGUUUUUGUUGGGCAAUCUGCACCUACUGGAGACAGUAUUCACUAUGGUUCUACUUGUAAGCGGGGAGAGAUCACCUGAAUGAUAGUUGAUACCACACCACCAAUUAGCCACUGUCAAAAGGCAAGGAUAUGGGAAUGCAUCUUCUUUGUUAUGUACUUAGCAGGACUUAUUUCUUUUCUUUGUUUUUUUUUGCCUAAUUUUGAUCUCAUACAGUUCUUGUUUGGUGUUUCUUAGGUCUUGGCUAUGAUCAGAAAUUUCCAUGUACACUAUGUAGCACACCCCACUUUUCAGGACCAGGAGGUCCAUUCAAGCUCUCAUUGUUCAUCUCAGGAGAGUCAGAUGUUUGUUUGAAAAGAAAAAUACCAAAGUUCAGGUGAAGGUCUAUACAUUUGAGAUUCCCAUGAAGAAUGUUGUAAUUCGAUCUAUUCAAUUUUGAGAGCUUUUGUAGUUCUGUUUGCCAUUUUGAUGUUGGUACCAUUUGAUGAGGGCGGUAGACUAUAACUCCCCCAUUCAACCUUCCAAAUUUUGUAUAGGAAAGAUGAUGUUGUAUUGACCUUAUUCACUUCUUCAUGCAAUGAAAAUUCUCCUCUCUUCAAUACUCCCAAGUCUGCUCAAGUUUUUACCUUUUCACAUUAAUGAUAUUCAUACCUGCUUUAGAGUGCGUUUGACAGUAAUUUUAGAAAAUAUUUCUAUCAUUUCUAAUACUUGAAAAAUUUUAUUUUUCAAGUAUUAGAAAUAUUAUAAACACUUCCUAGAAUCAUUGUUAAACGCAUUCUUAAUUACUAGCCGCUGACAAUCAAGCUUCAUUUAUGGGAAGACAAAAAAUGAAGGAAACUGAAUCAUAGUAGAAAAGAAACAUUUAGUUCCAACAUCAAUACUAUUAAUUUACAUCAUCCCUCUAUCCCUAUCUAUGAAAGAAUUCUUCAUAUGAAUACAUCCUUCCAUCUAAGGACCCAUGAUUGUAGUUAAAAGACACUCAUACAACACCCACUACUAUGUAGAGGAGUGCAUUGGUGAUACUACUUUGAGAUUUGAUAUUUGAAAACUUUGAGAUUGUAAUAAAUAACAAUAAAAGAAAUAAUGCAUAAAAGUAAAUAGGAAAGCUAGAGAUAAAGAGAAUUCAAACUCAAGAUCUUUAUAGUACAUAACCUUACGUAUAUCCGUUCUGCUCAAGUUCCAAUUGGGAUGAAGGUUCCACUAAUCCAAAACUUUUUAAAGCUCAAGCCUUCAAACUUUAUAUAUUUGGAUUAUGGUUCUAAGGAACUCUCUAUAGCAAAAUUUUUAAAAACAAAGUCUCCAAACUUUUCCUUCUAAAUUAUGGUUCCAAAGUACCAUCUCAAGAGAUAUCCCGCUCUUGAGCUAUUCAAGCAAUCCUACACUUGUUAAUCUUCGUAGGACUAACAAUUGAAAGAAGAUUAAUCUUUGUAUUAUACAAUUUUGAUUCAAAUAAAUACAAAGGAAGCAAUGAUAUCAAAGUGCAUCAAAUGGAUAAGUAAGAUUAUGAAUCAAGAUGCACUAAAAACCAUUAUCCCAAUGGAUAAUAAUCAAAAUUUGGUUCUUAGAGAAUUAAUAAUGAGAGUUAAAAGGUCUUUAUACAUGUAUUGUGAGUAAACUAGACAUUAGAGAUAAUUAAAGAAAUCUUAAAGUUUCGAGCAAUCACGAACUUUUUGUGUUUUUUGUUUCCCCUCACGUGUAUGUCCUCAAAUCUACGUAUACCAUUCUAUUAUUCAAAACAAAUUUUCAUAUUUCAUUUUUUUCUUAGAAGAAAAAUACUUAGUUUCUAGUUGUCUAAUAUAAGGACAUUUUGAUAUUUUUCACUUUUCAAUUUAUUGUCGUUUUUAUAUUUCUUUUUUGAGCUUGAGAUCAACAUGAAUAUCUUAAUUUUGACUUUUAACUUAUUUUAAACUAUUCUUUAAUAAUUUUUUGUCCAUAGUUUUUUACUGUACAUUAAAAUAGUGAAGAAGUUUGUAUUCCAAUUUUAUAAUAUGUAGCAACUGUGCAAAACACAUUAAAUCUACUAGCAUAGUGAAAGUGUUGAAGUAUUUUCACAUGGACAAAUCAAUUUUAUGAAUAAACUUAAUUUACAAGUAGUUAUUCAAUCACUUGAAAUAAUAAAGAGUUCAUACUACAAGGAAAAAGUUCAAUUGAAAUAAUAAAGAACCCCUAGGUUAAGAAGCUCCAUAUUUUACUACAAUUAAUAAACUUAUGGAUCAUAUAACUUGUAUAUAUAUUUUUUUGUUUUAAUUAUUUGCUAUUUUCUUUUGACAUCGGAGAUGAAUUUAUUAUUUAAUAGAAAGUUUGUUUCCCAUGGGAGAAUUUAUUGAAAUUUGAAUAAUUUUAAAAUUAUAGUAUUUUUUUAAUUUUAAAUAGAACUCGUGAUUUAAAAAGACGAAUUCAAUGUAAAAGUGAACUCAUAUGUUAAAAAGAUGAGCUCAUAUUUUUUACAUUUUCAAUAUAAAAAGUUUUAAAAUAAAAAAUAUACAAAAAGUGAAUUCGUCUUUUUAAAAGACAAGUUCAAUAUAAAAGAAGAAUUCGUCUCUUAAGAAAACGAGUUUAGUGUAAAAAUAAAAAUAAAAAGUAAUAAAAAGUGUCGUAUUUUUGUAUUUAUUUAUUUUUAAAAAAAAAUCCCUGAAAUUUGUUACCCGAAGUGCCACGUGACAAAUCGGAUGAAAAAGAGCCACGUCACCGCUAUUAGUUGCUCACGUGCCACUCCAUAUCGGACACUUCCUCACGUGCGAAUCCUCUCAGAAAUUCAGAAUCCAUCUUCCCUGGUAAGUUAUUGAGUUAAUUUAGGCUUUAGUAUAUGAAUUAUAGCUUAAGGGCAUCCUCAAUUAUUCCAAUUUUGGUUAAUUUUCUCAAUAUUGGAGGCUCUUUCGUUUGUCGCUUCUAUUUGAGAUUUUGAAUCACUUGCGUGUGUUUGGUUGCGGAGAAAGUGUAGGAAAAAAAUAUAAAGUCAAAAUAAUAUAGAGUAUCCUGCCUUUUAUUAGGUAGUGGUCCUCAUGGAAUAGCUAGGUGAGGGUUUGAUCAAUAUAUUUUGCACAGCGUAUCUCAUUAUGGAUGAAAUUUCUUAAGCAGUGUGGGUUUGGGGUUGAAAUACUAGGUAUUUAUCUCCAAUUAAUACAAAUUUAUUACUUAUUCGAUUUCAAGUUGAAAUGCUGUUGGUCACCUUCUUGAACAAUAAAUUGGAACAAUGCAGAAAAACUUCUUUUCUCAGAUCUGUGAGUAAUAAUUAGAGCAAGAGAAACAGCUUCUCUCUCGCCCCUGCUGCCAUUGCCCCUAAUUAUAUUUCUCUUUCUUUUUCUUUUCUUUUUAUUUGUGUUUGGAUUUGGAUUUUAUAGCCUGAAACUCUCUCAUUUGUGGGUACGCCAAUUUCUGUCUUAUCUUCUUCAUUGUUUUCUCUUAAAUUUAUGUUCUUUUGAUCAAUUAGUUUGUUCUUUUGACUUGAAUUUGAUUGAUUUUAUUUGGGUUUCUUUUGAAUGGGAGCUUUGACUAUUCUGAAUUUUGUUUCUUAAUGUGAGUUUUGUCUGAGUGUUGGACUGUGCAAGUCGUUUGAUGAUACAUUCAAAUUGUACCGAAUCAGUUUGAUGAAAAACCCACAAAUUGUUGAUGGAAAACUGUGUUAUGGAGUCUUGUAUCCUUCCGUUUCAUUUUUUCACCCAAACAGGUGAAUUUCUCAUCCUUGGAUUCUAAAUCCAAAUCCGUGUUUGUGGACAAUGACCUUACAAUCAGAAAUAAGCAAAUGUGCAUGUAAACUUGCCCCUUCAUUCAUCUGCCUAUUUGUCAGGUUGUGAAACCUGAGUAGGAGAUCAUUUCUGGAACUCAUCGAUGAGUUGGGAAGUGGGUUGAGUUGUGGUUCGCUGUUUGUGGGUUCGACCAUUCUGUCUAUAUCUGUUCCUGCAUUGCUCUAGUUUAACACUAACCUUAAAGAUUUCAUGGAGACAAUGAGCGACAAAUAAUUUUCAAUAGUGUUUUGUCUCUCUAAAAUUUCAAAAGAUUUGACGUUCCAUUUGUCCAGGUACUGAAUUUAUUACAUGCUCAUACAUCAAGCUUAGACAAUGAUUGUAGAGGAUCUUGGAAUUGAAGCCAAGGAAGCGGCGGUUCGUGAGGUUGCCAAACUUUUGCCACUACCUGAACUUUUGCAGUCAAUUUCGUCAAUCAAGGCUGAUUACAUUACGCGCCAACAGGUGAUGCUUCUUUGUCCAAUUUAAUAGUCAAAAUUUCUAUUUCAAUUUGGGUUAGUUUCAAUCACAUAUGUAGGUGAGUACGUGUGUGUGUGUGUGUGUGUGUGUGUGUGCACACCUAUCCACACACAUGCAAAAUUUUGAAGUUAUGCAGGUGUUGCGUUAAGAUUAUACUGAUUGAACAAGAGAAAUUUUUGGUUUUGGGUGACUGGAAUGAGCAAUCAUCUUGGAACUCUCUAGAUACAUGGAAAUUGAAGUGUGAGAUCAGGUUGAAUGAGUUGCUAGCUUGUUUUAUUUAUGAAAGUUGAGUUCAUGUGCUAGGAAUCAGAUCUCUCAAGUUUUGCUUUCUUGGGGCUACUUCACUCUGUUUCUGAAGUGAAAGAUUUUAAGAUGCUCCCCAACAAGGAGGAGUCCAAUUAGGCUUGUAAGAGGAUUUAAAACUAGUAUGGAACUCAACUAUUCUUAGCAUCCGAUCAAUAGAGUGCUCCAUCAAUUGACAUGUAGAAUCUUUAUUGACAAUUGAUUGAGAAAGAAAAGCCUUAGAGCUAAAUUUAUGAAGGGGCUCAAUCUAUCAAUUCUCAAAUAUACUCCUAGCAUGUGUGGAGAUCCAAUUCCCUAUGCAAUGAGUUAGGGCAUUUAAAAGAUUGGUGGGGAACUAAAAACUAUCCAAGUCCUAUGUUUUCUAGGUCACUUGGUAUAGCCAAAAAAGUGUGUUGACUGAUCCUGAUGGUCUUCAAUGAUGCGUUCAAGGAUUGAGUUCAGAGCAUGCUGGAUCACAUUGGACAUCUGAGGGAACUCUGACUAACCUAACUAGAUCUUUUAAUGGAUCAUAAAAAUGCUAAAUUCCUAAUAUUUCUUAUAUUAAAUUUAUGUAAAACCUUCAAGUUGCCUUCUGAAUGUUGCUAUAUUUUUUUAAUGUCAGGCAAAUGAUGCACAACUUAGUAUGAUGGUUGCAGAGCAGGUAUACAGAAACUUCUAUUCUAAGCUUCAGGGAAAUUAUUAUGUUGUUAUUAAUGUUAUGUGGUUACUAUUAAGUCUCUUAUGUUCUUCACUUUUUUUAUGAGUCUAUGGAGCUGAAGAAUCCCAGGCACUUUAAUUUUACUACCAUAUUGAUGUGUUCUAUUGAAACAACACUCUUAAAUUCAGGUUGAACAGGUACAGGCUGGGUUGGAAUCAAUUUCCUCAUCUCAAAAGACAAUAAACCAGCUUCGUGAGAACUUUCUCUCUAUUGAGAGGUAUGUUCUGCUUAUGAUUUUCCUAGAAAAUUCUUGUUGUUUUCUAUAUGUGCAGUUAUUAGGCUUCAACUCAGUAUUAAAGCAUUCAACUUUAAGGACUAAUGUGUUUACUUGCUUUUGCCUCAGGCUAUGUCAAGAGUGCCAAAACUUAAUUGAAAAUCAUGACCAAAUAAAGCUCCUUAGCAAUGUGAGAAAUAACUUAAAUACCACACUGAAGGUGAAUGCAAUGUCUGACCUUUGUUUUCAUCAACUUUUUCUUUAUCAUGAUAUGUUUCUUGCAUACACACACACAAACAUACAUAAGUUCUUGUCUCUCUAUAUCUAUGCACAUGUUAUUGUUCAGCUGCAGCUUGCAGUCUACUAAAUAAUGUUAUCUUUUUUCUUUCUUUUUGUCUGUGUGUCGUUGUUUUCCCCCCUUUUCUUUUCCACCUAUCCAAGGCAACAGAACAAAUGUGGCAUCCUAAAAUGCUGCCAGAAGCUAUGAGCCCAAUGACCAUUAAUGUGGGGCAGAAGAGCUUUUAUCGAAGUCAUUUUUUCAAAAUUCAGUUAGGAAAAAGGAGACACUUUGUAAUGCAUGACCUUAUUCAUGACUUGGCUCAACUGGUGUCUGGAGAAUUUUUUAUGUAUGCCAAAUCUCAGAAAAGACACGUCAUUUAUCAUAUUUUCCUAGAAAAUAUAAUACAUUUGAUAGAUAUGGAACACUUUCUGAAUUUAAGUGUUUGCGAACAUUUUUAUCAUUGGAGGUUUACGGGAUUGGCUACUUAAGUAAUAGAGUUCUACACAAUCUAUUAUCAGAAAUUAGAUGCUUGCGGGUGUUGUGUUUGCAUAACUAUAGGAUUGUUUAUUUGCCCAAUUCAAUUGGCAAGUUACAACAUUUGUGCUACUUGGAUCUCUAUAAUGCUUUGCUUGAAAAAUUGCCUACAUCAAUAUGUACUUUGUACAAUUUACAAACAUUGAUAUUGUCAAGGUGUUCGAAUCUGUAUGAAUUGCCUUCAAGAAUCGAAAAUUUGAUUAAUUUGCGUUAUCUUGACAUUCUUGGUACCCCACUAAGAGGGAUGCCAAGUCAUAUUGGCCAUUUAAAAUGUUUGCAAAACUUGAGUUAUUUCAUUGUGGGGCAAAAGAACAGGUCGGGGAUUGGAGAAUUGAAGUAACUUUCAGAUAUAAAGGGAACACUUAGAAUUUCAAAGUUGCAGAAUGUGAAAUGUGGCAGGGAUGCAAGAGAAGCCAAUUUGAAGGACAAGAUGUACAUGGAGGAGUUAGUGUUGGAUUGGGAUUGGGAAGCAAGUGAUAUUAUACAAGAUGGAGACAUAAUUGAUAAUCUUCGGCCACAUACAAACCUAAAGAGACUCUCUGUUAAUCUUUUUGGUGGUUCGAGAUUUCCGACAUGGAUAGCAAAUCCUUUAUUCUCUAAUCUCCAGACCCUAAAGCUUUGGAAAUGUAAAAAUUGCUUAUCAAUACCACCACUUGGGCAGCUACCCUCUCUUGAACACUUACGGAUCUCAGGAAUGAAUGGAAUAGAGAGGGUGGGCAGUGAGUUUUAUCAUUAUGGGAAUGCUUCUUCUUCCAUUUCUGUUAAGCCUUCCUUCCCAUCCUUACAAAACAUUUGAGUGGAUGGACAAUUGGAAGAAAUGGUUGUGUUGUGGAUGCAGACGUGGAGAAUUCCCUCGUCUCCAGGAGCUUUAUAUGCGGCACUGUCCCAAACUCACUGGGAAAUUACCAAAACAGCUUCGAUCCUUGAAGAAACUUGAAAUUGUUGGAUGUCCGCAGCUGCUUGUGCCUUCACUCAAAGUCCCUGCAAUCAGUAAAUUGACGAUGGUCGAUUGUGGUAAAUUUUAGUUGAAAAGGCCAGAUAGUGGCUUCAUUGCUCUUCAAACCUCACUCGUUAAAAUUUCAAACAUCUCUCAGUGGAAGCAGCUACCAGUGGGAGUGCAUAGCCUCUCAAUUACAGAAUGUGAUUCUGUGGAGACUCUAAUAGAAGAGGAACCGCUCCAGAGCAAAACUUGUGUUCUCAAAGAUUUGCAAAUCACAAAUUGUUGUUUGUCUAGAUCCUUGCGCAGAGUUGGUUUACCCACUAAUGCAUUGGAAUCACUAGAAAUCUCUCACUGUUCCAAGCUAGAGUUUCUCCUACCUGUGUUGUUGAGAUGCCACCACCCUUUCCUUAAAUAUAUACUGAUCGGAGAUAGCACUUGUGAUUUUCUCUCAUUAUCCUUCUCCUUAAGCUUCUUCCCAAGGUUGAACCAAUUUGAAAUCUAUAAUCUUGAAGGGCUUGAAUUCCUCUCAAUUUUGAGUUCAGUGGGGGAUCCCACAUCUCUUAAUUAUUUGGAUAUCCAAGAGUGCCCUGAUAUUGUAUAUAUUGAAUUGCCGGCUCUCGACUGAGCAACUUAUGUGAUCUCCAGAUGCUUGAAGCUCAAGUUAUUGAAGCACACCCUCUCAACUUUGGAGAGUUUGAAUUUAAGAGGUUGCCCAGAAUUGUUGUUCCAGAGAGAUGGUUUGCCCUCCAACCUACGUGAACUUCUCAUUUCAUCCUGCAACCUACUCACAUCUCAGGUGGACUGGGUUUGCAAAGACUGGCCUCUCUUACAAUGUUCACAAUCAAAGGUGGAUGCCAAGACAUGGAAUCAUUCCCCGAUGAGUGCCUAUUGCCCUCCACAAUUACCACUCUCAGAAUUAAACGACUUCCAAACCUCAGGUCUCUGGACAGUAAGGGGCUUCAACAACUUACCUCCCUCUCAGACUUAGACAUCGGCAAAUGCCCUGAGUUCCAAUCCUUUGGAGAAGAGGGGCUUCAACAUCCACCUCCCUCACAACAUUAUCCAUUAGCAAUUGUUCUAAGCUCCGAUCCCUUGGAGAAGAGAGGCUUCAACAUCUCACCUCCCUCAAAUCAUUAUCCAUUAGUGGCUGCCAUGAGCUCGAAUCUUUAACAGAAGCAGGUCUUCAACGCCUUAUCUCACUUGAAAAUUUGCAGAUCUCCGAUUGCCCGAAGCUCCAAUACUUGACAAAAGAGAGGCUGCCAAACUCCCUCUCUCAUCUGUCUGUUGACAAAUGUUCUUUGCUGGAACGUUGCUGCCAAUUUGGUAAAGGCCAAGAUUGGCAGCAUAUAGCUCACAUUCCACACAUAAUCAUCAACGAUGAGUUAUACUGAUGAAGAUGGAAAUUUAUCAUUGUCAAUCAGUUACUUGUUCCAUACUCAAAAUAACUUCCUUUAAAAAAAAUAAAAAUGAUGUGGUUAUUAUUAAGUCUAGGCUUCAAAAUUUCUUAUCAUCUCUAUUGUACUUGCUGGCUCUGUGAGGUUUGAUUGAUUUGCCUAUGGUCAUAAAGGCAUGGUGCCAAGCAGCUCUCCGGGUGUUCUAAGUGACUUGCUCUUCUUGAGCCUCAAUCAUGAUUUAUGGUUAGUGAGAUAUUUUAUUUGCUUUGAUUCUUUCUCAUGACCGAUUAUGGAUUUGUACUGGUUGGUUUCUUUCAGAUGUUCCAUCAGUGGAGACCUCACUUAACAAUUAAUCUGCAAAUUACAAGUUUCUCUUAAUCAUGACUGCAUCAUUUUGUAGGUUCUAUAAGGUUGGCAUGUAUAAAGGAACAGGUAUGUUUCAUUUGGCUAAUGCUUUUUAAUAGCUAACGCAUUCAUGCAGUGAUGUAUGUCGUGUUCUAUGUCAAUUCACAAUAAAAUUGUUGUAAGGGUUCUUCCAGAUGGAACGUGGAGUGGAGAAGAUGAUGAAGUUUUAGUGCCUGUAGGCAUUAUUCUUAUUGAACACAGAGAAACUAUUCUGCUGAUACUGUAUCCUUGACAAAAACUGAUCAGGUGGCUCUGCUGUUACCAUGGAUUGACAUGCUACUUAAUGGCACGGCCUGGUCAAAUUUUAAUGAGACUACUCUGUUUUGGUUGGACAGUCUCCACUUACCAGAGAUGGUUCGCUGCGUUCUACUUGCAAACAGGGAGAGAUCACCUUAUUGAUAGUUGAUACCACACCACCAAUUAGCCACCGUGAAAAGGCAAGGAUAUGGGAAUACAUCAUCUUAGGUCUUGGCUAUGAUCAGAAAUUUCCAUGUACGGUAUGUUGCUGUUGAAAUUUCCAAGCCACACUUUUUAGGACCAUGAGGCCCAUUCAGGCUCUCAUUGUUUAUCUCAGGAGAUUCAGAUGUUUGUUUGAAAAGAAAAAUACCAAAGUUCAAGUGAAGGUUUAUACAUUUGAGAUUCCCAUGAAGAAUGUUGGUACUAUUUGAAGAGGGUGGUAGACUACCACUCCCUCAUUCAAGCUUCCAAAUUUUGUAUAGGAAAGAUGAUGUUGUAUUGACCUUCUUCACUUCUUCACUUCUUCAUGCAAUGAAAAUUUACUUCUCUUCUAUAUAUGCCCACACUCUGCUCAGGUUUUUACUUGCAUUAAUGAUACUACUCGGUCACCUUAUUGAUCCCCACAUCAACCAUUAGGCCAUUUUCAAUGGGCACACCUUCUGUUGUUUAGGUCAAAAUCUAAUGUCUGCAGUACGCUUGAUCAUGUUUGUAAAUUAGUAGUUUGAUGUCUAUGUUAAAUUUUCAAAGGAUUUAGAAUGUAUAAAUCAAACGAUUGAGAUUUUUUAAAUAUAUUCAAGAUUAAGUUACAAGGAUCAUUGUUGAAGGCGGUCACAAAUUCUCUUUUGAAUUAAUUUAUAAGUCAUCGAUAUUUUUUUCAUUACGAUAUAUUCAUGGAAUAGAAUUUCUUAUAAUUAUAAAGGUUGAAAUAUCCUAUUGCUAUAUUUUCUUUUAAGCUAUAUUUAUUUCUCCAAAAAAAAUUGAAGGAAAAUGUAAGGGAAAGAAAAAGUGAAAAAAAAAUGAUUUAAAAUUAAUAAAUUAUUCUUAUAUAUUUUUUCAAAUUCAUUUCACUUAUUUUUCUUUAUUAUAUAAAGAUUAAAUAAUUUAAAAAUAUAUAAAUUUUAAAGUAAUUUUAAUAAUUUUUUUUUUUUCAUAUUUUUAUGGUAAAACUAAAUAUAUAUAAGAAAAUCAUUUUUUUUUUAAACAUUUUCUUCUUUCGAUUAGACUUUAAGAAAAUGUAUCUUUGAUAAUUAUGAAAGUAGUUUACCGUAGUACUCUGUUUGGAGUAGUUGGUAUCAUCAAUUUCUAACAUUAAAAAAAUUAAGAAAAAAAUAUUUGUUGUUUUUGCAAAUGGAUUGCUAUAGAAUACAAUACUUGAUACAUACACACCAUCGUCCUUUAACUUCUAUUAGAAAUAACCCGAGUAAGCUUUUCUUCACCAUGUGUGGGCACUGCUGCAGGAGCCGCUUAAAGCUUAGGGACCAAGGCCCUAGCCACAACCAUACUUUUUUAAAAUUUUUUUAAAAUCCAAACUUUUAAACUCUUUAUACUUGGAUUAUGGUUUUAAGAUACCUUCUAUAAUGAAACUUUUAAAGACAGUUUCCAAAUUUUUCUCUAUGAAUUAUGGUUCCAAAAUACCCUUUCAAGAAAUACCCGACUCUUGAACCACGUGCCCAAGUGAUCCCACACUUGUCAAUCCUCAUAAGAUUUAUGAUUGAAAGAAGAUUAAUCUUUGUGUACAAUUUUGAUUCAAAUAAAUACAACAUCAUGGUGGAUAAGUAAGAUUAUGAAUCAAGGAGCACUAAAAAAAAACUCCCUACAACCAAUGGAUAAUAAUUAAUGUUAGGUUCUUGGAGAGUCAACAAUGAGAAUUAAAUGGCCUUUAUAUAUGUAUUGAAAGUAAACUAGUGAUCAUUAGAGAUAAAAACCCUGAAGUCCCAAUCGAGCAGCAACUAGUCAUUACUCAUAAGCCUAUGUUACCGUUGAAAGGUCUUUAUACAUGUAGUGGAAAUUAACAUUGUAAGGCCCUAUGUUAAUUGAUCAAUUAUUUGAUUGAAUCAGAAAGGUCAUCAUAAUUUUAUGUGUAAGCUAGAAGGGGCAUAUUGAAAGACCUCUCAUGGGCAAUUUGGUCAACGACCUGAUCAAUCGCUCAUUAACACUCCAUUGUCCUUUAGCUUCCAGUUAGUGAAAAUUUAGUAACACUAUACUUAAUGUAGUUUUAUUUCAUACCUUUUUAGAACUCUUUUAAGCUUGAAAUAAAUAAAUCAAACGUGGUUUCAAAGAGAAAAUACUUCAUCCAACUUCUAAAAAGAUUUAUUACAAUUUGAUUUUAAUUGGAUGAAAUUUGGUGAUAGCUACUUUAAUAAAAAUACGCACACAAUCAUAAUUUAGUGCACCAACAAUCUUACAAUGUAGUAUCUUAAACCUGAAUUUCAUAAACUUUUUCCUUUUAAACCCAUUUUGAUCCACUUUAAUCUUAAUGAUAUUUUCUUCUUGAUUAUAACUCAAAGGAAGUCUUCUUGUUAUAGAUAAUCUCCUUCUACAAUUGCACUUUCUCUUGUUUCUUGGAGAUGGAAAAUACACUUGAGUUUUAGCAUAUGGCUAACAAAAUUAAAAUCAUUUUUAUAAUAAUUUUAUAAUAAUUAAAGUUACUUCUAAUAAUUAAAAUCAUUUUUAAAAACCUAGAAAAAUAUUCCUUGAUAGAUAAUUUUCAAAUAAUUGUACUAAUUAAUUAUGGUGAAAAUCUUGUCAAAAUUAGUAAAUGAUCUCAUAAUCUCAACUAAUUUUAUGUAACUUUAUGGCUGACAAAACUAUAUAAUAAGCAUACAUAACCUUCAUAUUACCAUGUAAGUAUUUAUUUAUAUUGCAACAUUUUAUCAAAAAUUGAUUGAGUGUGAAAAUAAAUAAAAUGAUAACUCAAUUCAUUGAAAUGAAAUAUCAAAAUUCGUAGGAAAAAAACAUCCCUCAACUAUUAUUGAAUCCUUUAUUCAUUUAUUUAUUCAUUGUUUUUUUUGUUUUGUUUUUUGUUUUUGUUUUUGCCUUUUGUUUUUGUUUUUGUUUUUGUUUUUUCUGUUUUUUUUUUUUUUUUUUUGUGCCUUGUACAUAUUUAAUUAUUAAAAAUUUUAAAAAAAAUUUAUAAAAUAUUUCUCCCACAAAAAGGAGUUUAUGAAAGUGUUGAAAUAUGACAAUGAUCAGUAAUAUUAAAUUUGAAAAUCGUCACAACAAAAUUUCACCUACUCAAGAUAUUUGGAAAUGAAAUAAAAAAACUCUUCUAAAUUUAAAAGAUCAUUUAAUUAGGUGCUAAUGGCCAAUAAGUCUUCUAAACGGAAGUAAAUUGUAAGCUUAAUUAAAUAAGUUUUUUGGCCCUUCUUGUGGCCGGCCAUGUCCAUGCUCCUUUUCAAGCCGGCCUCCUUUGUUUUGUGUGGUUUGUCAUUUGUGAACAAUGUCAGACCUGAGGCCUUCCAUCGUCUCGAAUAAUUUAACCAGGUCUGACCCAACUUCGCUACCAAGAAACAUUGCAUUUUCUCAAUACAAACCAAUCUUUUCCAGUUUGGUGGUUUGAUUUUGGAUCGCUUGCCUUCGUUUUUCCUUGAUUCAUCACUCACUUUUCUCUACAAACGAACAGAUAUGGCUGGGGCUUUAGUUGGAGGAGCUUUCUUCUCGGCUUCUCUUCAAGUUCUAUUUGACAGGUUGGCUUCUCGCGAGGUUGUGAGCUUCAUCCAGGGGCGGAAGCUCAGCGAUGCGCUCCUGAAGAAGUUGGAAAGGAAGUUGCUGGUAGUCCAUGCAGUGCUCAACGAUGCUGAGGUCAAACAAUUUACAGAUCCAUAUGUGAAGAAGUGGCUGGUCUUGCUUAAAGAGACUGUGUAUGAUGCGGAGGACAUACUGGAUGAGAUCGCCACAGAGGCUUUGCGACACAAGAUGGAAGCUGCAGAGUCCCAAACCAGCACGAGUCAGGUGGGUAACAUCAUGGACAUGUGUACCUGGGUUCAUGCCCCAUUUGACAGUCAGAGCAUAGAGUCGAGGGUGGAGGAGAUCAUUGAUAGACUUGAAGAUAUGGCACGAGACAGAGCCGUCCUUGGGUUGAAAGAAGGUGUUGGCGAGAAACUGUCACAAAGGUGGCCUUCUACUUCUUUGGUGGAUGAAUCUCUUGUCUAUGGCAGGCAUGAUGAAAAACAGAAGAUGAUUGAACAGGUGUUGUCUGAUAAUGCAAGGAGGGAUGAGAUAGGUGUGAUUUCCAUAGUGGGCAUGGGCGGCCUUGGCAAGACCACACUUGCUCAACUUCUAUAUAAUGACGCAAGGGUGAUGGAACACUUCGAUUUGAAGGCAUGGGUUUGUGUUUCCGAAGAAUUUGAUCCUAUUAGAGUUACAAAAACAAUUCUGGAGGAGAUUACUUCAUCCACUUUCGAGACAAAUAACCUAAAUCAGCUUCAAGUUAAACUGAAAGAGAGAAUUAAUACGAAGAAAUUUCUACUUGUCUUGGAUGAUGUUUGGAACGAGGACUCUAGUAACUGGGCUAUGCUACAAACUCCACUCAAAGGCGGGGCAAAGGGAAGCAAGAUUGUUGUAACGACCCGCAGCACCAAUGUUGCAGCAGUUAUGCGCGCUGUUUAUUCUCAUUGUCUUGGUGAACUAUCCUCUGAAGAUUCCUGGUCUCUGUUUAGAAAACUCGCAUUUGAAAAUGGAGACUCGAGUGCGUAUCCACAACUAGAAGCAAUUGGUAAGAAGAUUGUGGACAAAUGCCAAGGUUUGCCACUAGCUGUAAAAGCAGUGGGGGGCCUUUUACAUUCUGAGGUUGAAGCGAGGAAAUGGGAUGAUAUACUAAACAGCCAAAUAUGGGAUUUGUCAACUGAUACAGUUCUUCCUGCAUUGAGAUUGAGUUACAAUUAUCUGCCUUCACAUCUAAAGCAAUGUUUUGCCUAUUGCUCAAUUUUUCCCAAGGACUACGUAUUGGAGAAAGAGAAGCUAAUUUUGUUAUGGAUGGCUGAAGGUCUUUUACAAGAAUCAAAAGGCAAGAGAAGAAUGGAAGAGGUAGGUGACUUGUACUUUCACGAGCUUUUAUCGAAGUCGUUUUUUCAAAAUUCAGUUUGGAAAAAGAAGACACACUUUGUAAUGCAUGACCUUAUUCAUGACUUGGCUCAACUGGUGUCUGGAGAAUUUUCUGUCAGUUUGGAGGAUGGUCGGGUAUGCCAAAUCUCAGAAAAGACUCGUCAUUUAUCAUAUUUUCGUAGACAAUAUGAUACCUUUGAUAGAUAUGGAACACUUUCUGAAUUUAAGUGCUUACGAACAUUUUUAUCAUUGGGGUACAUGCUUGGCUACUUAAGUAAUAGAGUUCUACACAAUCUAUUAUCGAAAAUUAGGUGCUUGCGGGUGUUAUGUUUUCAUAACUACAGGAUUGUUAAUUUGCCCCAUUCAAUUGGCAAGUUGCAACAUUUGCGCUACUUGGAUCUCUCUAAUACUUUGAUUGAAAAAUUGCCUACAUCAAUAUGUACUUUGUACAAUUUACAAACAUUGAUAUUGUCAAUGUGUUCGAAUCUGUAUGAAUUGCCUUCAAAAAUCGAAAAUUUGAUUAAUUUGCGUUAUCUUGACAUUGAUGAUACCCCACUAAGAGAGAUGCCAAGUCAUAUUGGCCAUUUAAAAUGUUUGCAAAACUUGAGUUAUUUCAUUGUGGGGCAAAAGAGCCGGUCGGGGAUUGGAGAAUUGAAGGAACUUUCAGAUAUAAAGGGAACACUUACAAUUUCAAAGUUGCAGAAUGUGAAAUGUGGCAGGGAUGCAAAAGAAGCCAAUUUGAAGGACAAGAUGUACAUGGAGGAGUUAGUGUUGGAUUGGGAUUGGAGAGCAGGUGAUGUUAUACAAGAUGGAGACAUAAUUGAUAAUCUUCGGCCACAUACAAACCUAAAGAGACUCUCUAUUAAUCUUUUUGGUGGUUCGAGAUUUCCGACAUGGAUAGCAAAUCCUUCAUUCUCUAAUCUCCAGACCCUAAAGCUUUGGAAUUGUAAAAUUUGCUUGUCAUUGCCACCACUUGGGCAGCUACCCUCUCUUGAACAGUUACGGAUCUCAGGAAUGAAUGGAAUACAGAGGGUGGGCAGUGAGUUUUAUUAUUAUGGGAAUGCUUCUUCCUCCAUUGCAGUUAAGCCUUCCUUCCCAUCCUUACAAACUCUAACAUUUGAGUGCAUGCACAAUUGGGAGAAAUGGUUGUGUUGUGGAUGCAGACGUGGAGAAUUCCCUCGUCUCCAGGAGCUUUAUAUAAAGAAAUGUCCCAAACUCACAGGGAAAUUACCAAAACAGCUUCGAUCCUUGAAGAAACUUGAAAUUGUUGGAUGUCCGCAGCUGCUUGUGGCUUCACUCAAAGUUCCUGCAAUCAGUGAAUUGACGAUGGUCGAUUGUGGUAAAUUGCAGUUGAAAAGGCCAACUAGUGGCUUCACUGCUCUUCAAACCUCACACGUUAAAAUUUCAAACAUCUCUCAGUGGAAGCAACUACCAGUGGGAGUGCAUAGGCUCUCAAUUACAGAAUGUGAUUCUGUGGAGACUCUAAUAGAAGAGGAACUGGUCCAGAGCAAAACUUGUCUUCUCAGAUAUUUGGAAAUCACAUAUUGUUGUUUGUCUAGAUCCUUGCACAGAGUUGGUUUACCCACUAAUGCAUUGGAAUCACUAAAAAUCUCUCACUGUUCCAAGCUAGAGUUUCUCCUACCUGUGUUGUUGAGAUGCCACCACCCUUUCCUCGAAAAUAUAUACAUCAGAGAUAACACCUAUGAUUCUCUUUCAUUAUCCUUCUCCUUAAGCAUCUUUCCAAGAUUGCGUUGUUUUGAAAUCAGUAAGCUUCAGGGGCUUGAAUUCCUCUAUAUCUCCGUUUCAGAGGGAGAUCCCACAUCUCUUAAUUCUUUGAAUAUCUCACGGUGCCCUGAUGUUGUAUAUAUUGAAUUGCCGGCUCUCGACCUAGCAAGUUAUGAGAUCUCCGGAUGCUUGAAGCUCAAGUUAUUGAAACACACCCUCUCAACUUUGCGGUGUUUGAGGUUAUUUCAUUGUCCAGAAUUGUUGUUUCAGAGGGAUGGCUUGCCCUCUAACCUACGUGAACUUGAAAUUUCAUCCUGCGACCAACUCACAUCUCAGGUGGACUGGGGUUUGCAAAGAUUGGCCUCUCUUACAAGAUUCAAUAUCAGGGGUGGAUGCCAAGAUGUUCAUUCUCUUCCCUGGGAGUGUCUACUGCCCUCCACAAUUACCACUCUCAGAAUUGAACAACUUCCAAACCUCAAGUCUCUGGACAGUAAGGGGCUUCAACAACUUACCUCUCUCUCAAACUUAUACAUUGGCGACUGCCCUGAGUUCCAAUCCUUUGGAGAAGAGGGGCUUCAACAUCUCACCUCCCUCACAACAUUAUCCAUUAGAAAUUGUUCUGAGUUGCAAUCCUUUGGAGAAGAGGGGCUUCAACAUCUCACCUCCCUCGUAACAUUAUCCAUUAGCAGUUGUUCUGAGUUCCAAUCCUUUGGAGAAGAGGGGCUUCAACAUCUUACCUCCCUCAUAACAUUAUCCAUUAGCAAUUGUUCUGAGCUCCAAUCCUUUGGAGAAGAGGGGCUUCAACAUCUCACCUCACUCAAAACAUUAUCCAUUAGCUGCUGCCCUAAGCUCAAAUCUUUAACAGAAGCAGGUCUUCAACACCUUAGCUCAGUUGAAAAAUUGCAGAUCUCCGACUGCCUGAAGCUUCAAUACCUGACGAAAGAGAGACUGCCAAACUCCCUCUCUCUUCUGGCUGUUGACAAAUGCUCUUUGCUGGAAGGUCGCUGCCAAUUUGAGAAAGGCCAGGAUUGGCAUUAUGUAGCUCACAUUCCACACAUAAUCAUCAACCAUGUGUUAUACUGAUGAAGAUGGAAAUAUAUUAAUGUCAAUCAGGUACUUGUUCCAUACUCAAAAUAACUUCCUUCAAAAUAAAAAACGUUGUGGCAAUUAUUAAGUUUAUGCUUCAAAAUUUCUUAUCAUCUCUAUUGUGCUUCCUUGCUCUCUAUAAGGUUUGAUUGAUUUGGCUAUGGUCAUAAAGGCAUGGUGCCAAGCAGCUCUCAGGGUGUUCUAAGUGACUUGGUCUUCUUGAGCCUCAAUCAUGAUUUAUGGUUAGUGAAAUAUUUUAAUUGCUUUGAUCCUUUGUCAUGAGUUAUUAUGGAUUUGUACUUGUAGAGACUUCAUUUUCUACUUCCCGAUGGUCCAACAGUGGAGACCUCACAAGUUUUUCUUAAUCAUGACUGCAUCAUUUUGUGGGUUCUCAUUUGGCUAAUACUUUCCAAUAGUUAAAGCAUUUGUGCAGUGAUGUAUAUCAUGUUCUAUGUCAAUUGACAAUAAAAUUGUUAUAAGGGAUCUUCCAGAUGGAAGGUGGAGUGAGGAAGAUGUCGUUGUUUUAGUGUCUCGGUUCAUUGUUCUUAUUGAACGCAGAGUACCUUAAAGGUACUGCCUGCUCAAAUUUUACUGAGAUUGCUCUGUUUUGGUUGGGCAGUCUGCAAUUACUAGAGACAGUAUUCACUAUGGUUCUACUUGCAAGCAGGGAGAGAUCACCUGAAUGAUAGUUGAUACCGCACCACCAAUUAGCCACUAUCAAAAGGCAAGGAUAUGGGAAUGCGUCUUCUUUGUUAUGUGCUUAGCAAGACUUAUUUCUUUUCUUUGUUUUUUUUUUUCCCCUAAUUUUGAUCUCAUACAGUUCUUGUUUGGUGUUUCUUAGGUCUUGGCUAUGAUCAGAAAUUUCCAUCUACACUAUGUAGCACACCCCACUUUUCAGGACGAGGAGGUCCAUUUAGGCUGUCAUUGUUCAUCUCAGGAGAGUCAGAUGUUUGUUUGAAAAGAAAAAUACCAAAGUUCAGGUGAAGGCCUAUACAUUUGAGAUUCCCAUGAAGAAUGCUGUAAUUCAAUUUGUUCAAUUUUGAGGGCUUUUGUAAUUCUGUUUGCCAUUGUGGUGUUGGUACCAUUUGAAGAGGGUGGUAGACCAUAACUCCCUCAUUCAAGUUUCCAAACUUUGUAUAGGAAAGAUGAUGUUGUGUUGACCUUACUCUCUUCUUCACUUCUUCAUGCAAUGAAAAUUUACUUCUCUUCUAUAUAUGCUCACAGUCUGCUCAAGUUUUUACUUGCAUUAACGAUACUAGCGCUACUCGGUCACCUUAAUAUUGAUCCCCACAUCAACCAUUAGGCCAUUUUCAAUAGGCAAGGAGAUAGGAAUAUAGCACCUUCUGUUGUUUAGGUCAAAAUAUAAUGUCUGCAGUAUGCUUGAUCAUGUUUAUAAAUUGACAUGAUAACCCAAAAGAGUAUUCGAUAUAUUUUUUAUGAUGUAGCCUAGUAUAUGUGUACCUAUCUAAGUAGUUCGAUGUAUAUAUUAAAUAUUCAAAGGAUUUAGAACGUAUGAAGCAAAUAAUUGAAAAAAUUAAGUUACAAGGAUAAUUAUUGGAAAGUGUCUCAAAUUCUUUUUCGAGUCAAUUUAUAAGUCAUUGAUGUUUUUGCAUUAGGACAUAUUCAUGGAAUAGACUUUCUUAUUAUUAUAAAGGUUGAAAUAUCCUAUUGUUAAAUUUUCUUUUAAGCUAUAUUUAUUUCUCGGAAAAUUUGAAGGAAAAUGCAUAGGAAAGAAAAUAGAGAUAAAAAGUAGAAAGAAAGAAAAAGUGAAGAAAAUUAAAAAUAUGAUUUAAAGUCAAUAAAUUAGUUUUUCAAAUUCAUUUAACUUAUUUUUCUCUAUUGUAUGAAGAUUAAAUAAUUAAAAAUGUAUAAAUUUCAAAUUAAAUUUAAUUAUGUUUUGCUUUCUUUCAUAUUUUCUAUGGUGAAAUUAAAAUGAGAAAAUCAUUUUUCUCAACAUGACCUAAUAGUUCCUCAUGGUCCAACUUACAUAAGAGAUAAAUUUUAAUAAAAAACUUUAUCACUUUCAACAAAGUAUUUGAAUACCAAAAUUUCUUAUAGAAAUGGUUAAAAUUAUGCAUUAAUCAACCAACAAUAGUCAUCUAAGAGAGGUGAAUAUAGUGUUAAUCUCUUUUUACACACUAUACAAAAAUGAAUACAAGAGAUAAUUUAAGCAAUAAUAUAAUAAAUAACAAUAAAAGAAACAAUUUAUUAAAAUAAAUAGAUAAGGGAAAAAAAGAAUUUAAACUUAAGAUUUUUAUAGUGGUUUGUUGUAAUCCUACUCAUAUCCACUCUCCUCAAUUUUUAAUCACGAUAAAUGUUCCAUUAAUCUAAGACUUUUUAAAGCUCAAGUCUUUAAACUCUUUAUACUUGGAUUAUGGUUCUAAGAUACCGUGUAAUAACAAAACUUUUAAAGACAAAUUCUCCAAACUUUUUCCUUUGAAUUAUGAUUCCAAAGUACCCUUUCAAGCGAUACCUUGCCCUUGAGUUGUCUAAGUGAUCCCACACUAGUUAAUCCUCAUAAGAUCUACAAUUGAAAGAAGAUUAAUCUUUGUGUACAAUUUUGAUUCAAAUAAAUACAAAGGAAACUAGGAUUGAAGUGCAUCAUAGUGGAUAAGUAAGAUUAUGAAUCAAGGUGCACUCCAAAACACUCAGCGACUGAUGGAUGAUAAUCAAUAUUAGGUUCAUGGAGAGUCAAUAUUAUGCUUUUACGAAGAUAUUACUAUCUAUAUUUUUAUAGUAUGUAUUAACAUAGCUGUAGACCCCCCAUUUGGGGCCAUUCGGGCAGCUGCUCAUUUUGCCACGUGGAAGAGCCUUGCUCCACCACGUGUCUUCUCUUGAGAGGCUGGUGCAGAAUCAGAUGAUGCUUUUAGGAUGCCAAUGGAAGGUUGAAGCAUAUUUUUUUUGUAUAAAAAGACUUAUAGUUUAUGGUUUUAUUAUAAUACUAGCAUUCAUAUUUUACUAAAAAUAAUUUAUUUUUUAAUUUAUUUGUGAUUCUAAAUACUAUUUAUAAAAAAUUCAAGUGUCAACAAAUUUUUACUAUUUCAAGUUUUUCAAUGUUUAAAAGUGAUAUUUAGAUACAUAAUAUAAAUCUAUAUUUUCCGUACAAGAGGUUGUAGCUUUUAUAUAGAAUUUAUUACUUGUUUCUAUUUUUAAAAGCAAAAAUUUUUCUUAAAGAAUAUUUUUAACCUAAGCACUAUUAAUAAAAAUGGUACGAACCGAAAUACUUUAAUUUGAAUUACUCUCAACUUCUUAAUUUAUGUAAAUUAUAAGGGAAAAAACCAAAGUACUAAAUAGAUACAUACCAUACUUCAAAUCUAAGAAGAUAACAAUAUAAUGUGUUGAAAAAGUACAUGUGCGUGUUGGAGUGCUUAUGCAUAAAAUUGUAAUUCUCAUGUUAAAAAAAAGAUUCAAACUUUAUGCACUUUAUAUUGUGUCCAUGGGGCCCAAGCCCCUAUAUCCAAAUGAAAAUUCGAGUUUUUUUAACUUCUAAAGCUACUUUGAGAAAAAAAAUUUAAAAGAUGGUAGUUACAAAACUAAUGACAAAUCGAUGACACUUUUUGUCGUAUCGAAUGUGUCUCUCCAAAAGACAUUUUCCAUAAUUUUCAUAUGAAUGACACUUGAUAAAAAAAAAAUUAAAUUUACAUUGAAGAUGUCUCUUCAAGAGAUAUUUUCCAUAAUUUUAUAAAAUUAAAUUUAUAUUUAAGAGACACUUUUUUACAAUUUUUUUAAAUUAGACAUAUACAUUAAAAAAAUUGAAUAUUUAUUAAAAGUGUAUUUUGAAGAGACAUCUUUCACAAUUUCAUAAAAUUGAAUUCAUAUUAAAAGUGUCUCUUUAAGAAACACUUUUUCACUUCUUUUUUUUUUUUUUUAUCAAUCAUACAUAUUAAAAAAAAUUUGAAUUUUUACUCUCAUAAUUCCACAAAAUCGAAUUUAUACUAAAAGUAUCUCUUCCAAAAUUUUCAUAUUAGUCACACAGUGAAGAAAAUGAAUUUAUACUAAAUGACUUUUUAGGUGACACAUUCCACAAUUCGACAAAACUAAAUUUAUAAUUAAGAUGUCUUUUGAAAAGACAUCUUCCAUGAUUUUCAUACCAGUCACACAAUAAAGAAAAUUAGAUUUAUACUAAAGGUGUUUGUUCAAGAGAUUAAAAACUAAGUUCGAAAAUUUUGGAUCUGCAAAGAAAAUUUUAGGAAUGGGGAUCUAAAGGGACCAAAGAAAUGGAACUUGGUUUCUAUGCCAACAAAGUUAUAAUCAAAAGGUUUUGGAGCGGUUAAUUGAUGUCAAAUAAGUUAUAAUCAAAAGGUUUUGGAGAGGUUAAUUAAGGUGAUCAAAUUGUGAAGGCUAGCUCUCUGUCCCUGGAAGACAGCAGCAAAGACAUAUACUUAGGCUAAUCUACUUCAUGGAACAUUUUAAUUACUCCACUUCUCUUUCAUGACCUUUCAUUCACUUGGACUAGUUCAUCUCUUGCAGCCAAUGCCUAUCUCCUUAUAUUUGUCAAAAUCAGCUUCUCUUGUCUAGCCGACAUUGUUGAAGAUAAGCAACUUGGACUAAUUCAUCUCUUGUAGCCAAUGCCUUUCUCCACUUGCAUGCACAUUAAAUUAGACAUGACUUAAUUACCAGGUCUGUUGAAGAUAAGCAACUUGCCUUCCCUUAACAAUUAUUAUAGGCCGACCUACCUUCAUCCACCACCCCCACUUUCCAUUUAUAUGCCUUUGCUUUCAUAUUCUUACCCCAUGAGAUUAAGAUUAAGAGCAUGUGGCCUGGUAAACAAUGGUGACGUACAGGGUCUACCACGAAAAUUUGGAAUUCAAAGUUCCUUUUUGGCCGAAUCCAGAAGGAAAGGGAAGGAGAAUUAUGCUAUAGGUGUCUAUUUGUUGAUAAUGGGUUAAAAGUCCUUAAUAACUUGUAUAAUUCAUAAGGAGGAUGUAAAAUAUGGAGAGAUCAAAAUACCCAUUAAAGUAGUCAUCUUGGUUAACAUAUAAAAUGGAAAGUGAUUGUAGGAAAAAUUUGUGGUCUGCUGUACCAAAAUUAGAUUUUUGGCCAUUGGAUUUACAUAUUUAAUCAUGACCAUUGAUUUGAAUUGGAAAACACUUGCUAAUGGUUUCUUAUUAUAGGAUCGAAUUUUAGAGGAUACAAAUUUAGUAAUAAUUAAGUAAUGGGAUUUUAUAUUAUCAAAAUAUAUAAUUUAUAAUAAAUAAAAAUAAUGUAUUAUCUAAUUUUAUCUUCUUUUUUAUUUUUAUAUCAAUAUUAUUUAAAAAUAUAUAAUAAUAAGGGAGAAUUGUGUUUUGAGGUGAAUUGAGGCUGAUAAUUGACCCAAGAUCCUUAUAUCACCCAUGUUUGAACUCAAAACCUAUUGGUGGAAUAGAAAUUAAGAAGGAUGUUACUUUUCAAAAAUACCCUUGAUUGUCAAAUUAAAAAAUUAACUUGCGACUCUCACCUCUCUCUCUUUCUCUCUCUUUAUUUAGCUCCCCUAUUUUUUUAAAAAUUUUAGAACUUUUUUAUUUCAUAGUUAACCAAUUUAUAAAAUAAAGAUUCUUGUUGUUAAAUAAUUUUAUUGCAAAAUUUAUCUUUUAAAAUUAAAUUUAAAUAAUUUUAUAGUGAAAUUUAUCUUUUUAAAUUAAAUUUUUUAUCCUUAUUUAUUUCAUGUAGUAAACAAAUAUUUUAAAUAAAAAAAUCUACUUCAAUUUAUUUAUGAGAAUUACAUUAAAUGAAAAUGCAUUUUUAAUUGAUGGAUAUUGAAAUUGACUUUUCUUAUAUUUUAUUUAUUUAAUAUAAUAAAUUUAGAAUUCAAAAUAAAACCAACUUCCUUCAUUCAUAAGAAAUAAUUUUUUAUUAAAUGGUUGAUAAAAAAUUAAAAACUAUUAUUAUAUAUUUUUAUAACCAUUCGUUUCUAUCAUCCUAUGCCUUGGAAAAUUAGUUAUUUGUAAAAAAAGAUAAAAUAAUAACUUCUUUUAUUAGAAAGAAAUUUUAUAAUUCAUUUUUAUAAUGGUAAAAAAGAUUUUCUUAAUUAUUUCUGAAUCCAACCAACGACUCUUUUGAGAUUGUCUAGAUUUUAAGAAUUUUGAUAAAUUCAACUAUUAGAAAAAAAAUUUCAAAAUUUUUAUACAAGUAUAUUUUUAAAAUUUAGGUAAAUAAAUUAUAAAUUAAAAAUAAAUAAAUUUAAUAAUUUAAAUUCUUUAAUGAUUUAAAAAAAAUUAAUAAUAGUUUUGAAUUCAAAAAAUUGAUAUAAUUAAUUGCUUAUUAAAUAAAAACAUUUUAGAAUAUUAUAUUAGUAAUUCGGUAGUAAUUGUAUAUAACAAAUGAAAAACUUUACUUAUUUACAUGCUAGAAAAGUUAAACUUUAUUCAUUAUUCAUUCUAAAUAAAAUAUUAUUAAAAAUUAUUAUUAUUUAUUUUUAAGCAAGAAAAUUAAGAAGAUGUUAAUAUUCUUAUAUUUCUAACAUAGACUAAAAUAAUAAUUUUUUUAUAAAAAAUAUAAUUUAUGAUUUUAUUAUAAUUUAUUUGUAAUUACAAAACUAUUUUCAUUUUAAGAUUUGAAUUAAAUUAAAUUUAAUCUAUAUUGUAUAAAUUGAAUUUGCAAUGUUUUUACGAACCCAAAACAAAAAAAAUUAUUUUUAAAAAUAACUUAUUCAAACAAGUUUUUCAUUUUUCAUUUUUAAAAACUUGUCAAGUGUCGUUAUUUUAUAAAACACUAGGGGUAUGUUUGACAACUAUUUUUAAGAAUAGUAUUCUGUUUUCCAAAAAAAAAUAAAAAUUAGGUAAAUAUAUUUUGACAACCAAAAAACUAUUUUUUGUUUUCAGAGAAUGUCUUUUAUUUGUUUUCACUUGUUUUAUAAAAUAUUUCAAAUGAUUAAAAUAAAGCACUAAAUAUAAUAAUUAUUUUUAAAACAUUUCAAGUUCCUAAAAAGACUUUUGUUCUACAAAACACCACAAAAUAGUUUGCAAAAACUGUUCUUAAAAAUUAUUUUUCAAAAUUAUUUUUAAAAAUUAUUAAAUAAGAUCUUAAAAACUGCUUUUUUUUUUCUUUAUCUUCAAAAUAAUUUUUAGAAACCAAUUUAAGAAAACAUUGUAAAAUAGAUAUAUGUUUCCCAAACAAAAAAGUUAAUGAAAUAAUUGAUAAAUGGGAAAUUUGAAAAUCUUUCAAGCAAUUUUUUUUCCCAUAGGAUCAAAGUAGAAACUCUCCCCUUAUCAAAACUUGGAUCAAACAAGUGGACGGAAAAUGAACCUUGAACUUUAUAAAAAAAUAAUUAUUUAAACUUGAGAAAUAAAUUAAAAGACCUUUAUAAAAUAAUUACACCAUAUACAAUAUACAUUUUUCUAGUUAUCUACCAAAUAAAUUAAACAUUCUUAAUUUAUUUUUAUUUUUUGGAAUAUUUAUGAAUUUUCCUUUUGUUUUUUUUUCUUUGAUAAAAUUUAAACUAUGUUUCUAGGAGAGAAAAAAAAAUGUUAAAGUUACCUAAAAUAUAAGUUGAGAGACUUGCAAAACACUUUCAUCGGAUUAAAAUAUCAUCUUAUUUGACCUCCAAAACGUACCUGUCCCAAGCCUUAAUCCAAUUCUUCAUUUUUUUUCUUUAUUUUUAAAAAAGGGGACAAACCAAUGAGGGUGAAUGAUAGGUUGCUCACCCAGUGCCCGACGACUCCUGCAUCAGCAAACAUCGUACUAGUCACCAUUGCCAGCCUGGCUCGUGCUACCCUAGACUUUCUUCGCUUUUCAAUGUUUUAGAAAUAAUUUUAAGUUAGAAGAUAAAUGGGAAGGAAAGGUACGAGGAAGAAAGGGGAAGAAAAGGAAGGGCUAAGUCGAUAAGGGUUUGGAGAAGUGGAUGGAUGGGUAAAAAAGGAGGGUAUUAUGGGUAAUAGACUUGUAAAUUUUAUUAAUUGCAACAUUUCCCUCGACUUAGCCAGUAGAGAACUUUUUAGGGCUUAGAGGGGUGCUACCUCUUAGAGGUACCUUCCCAAUAGGUAACUUGAUCCCUGGACCAAGACUUCUGUUUUCGAAGGCACGCUUUUCCAAAACUAUGAGGUCACUUCUUUAGGGUUUUCUUUCUUAUUUUAUUUUCCCUUUUAAAAUAAAAUAAAAUAAAUGGCGACUCCAAUUUUUCCAAAACUAAUUUUUCACCAAUAAAAAUGAGUCUCGUCAUUGAGUGGGGACGCACGUGAAAAAUGCGGAUCCACAACAGUAUGUUCACACAACCAGCGAGUAAAGAGAGACGAUGCAAGGGGUAGUCGUCCAAGCCCUUGCAUCUCCGGUAACUCCUAAAGCUGUCAUUAACUACAUACACGAAGGUCCAAUAGAUGACAAGCAAGCGACAAAGACGAAGGUUGUUCCGCAAGGCUUCUAUAAGAGAACGGAUUAACUCCGUCCAGUGCACCUUUGUAGAAGGAAGUGCACGUCCAGUUAACGACACAAUCAUCUUCCCUUCAGUAGAUGUUAAUCCGAUGUUGCAACCAUAUGAAGAUGCCUUGAUCCUAACACUGGGGGUAGGCGGAUUUGAUGUGAGGAGAAUCCUAGUUGACUUAGGUAGUUCAAUCGACCUCUUACAAAUGUCGACCUAUAAGCAAAUGAGCUACUCAUCAUCCGCCCUAGAGAACACAGGACGUUUGUUGUCUGAAUUCAAUGGAGCUACAACAACUUCACUUGGCGAUGUUUUGUUGCCCAUCCAAGUUGGGUCGAUCACAUUGAAAGUGCGAUUCUCAGUGGUCAAUGAUUUGUCUUCAUACAAUGCCAUUAUGGAACGUGCAUGACUUCACAAAAUGAAAGUCAUUCCUUCCACAUACCAUCAAAUGAUGAGCUACCUCACAAAAGAAGGACAAGUCGAUCUCCUUGGCAAUCGGCUAGUUGUGCGCCAAUGCUAUCAAGUGACAUUAGAAUCCGGACAUCCAACCAGCAAAGAGACGCAUUUGGAGUCAUCGAAUGUAAGAGAGUAAUAGCAAUUACUGAGCCUGGCAAAGAAAGAUUCAUAUACGACUGAUCCGCUCCAACCAUUGUGCUUCUCACAUGACGCAGAUCCAAUCAUCUACACUAAUUCCCUGCUUACGCAAGAUGAGCUGGAGCUGCUAAGGAAUAUGCUUCAGCGCAAUAAGGACAUCUUCUCCGAAACUCACUCGGAUAUGCUAGGAAUUCAUUAGUCAUGGCUUUCCAUAAGCUCAACGUCUCACCCACCUCACAGCCUAUCCGGAAAAAGGUUUGGCAUUUUCAUUUGGAUAAACAAAAAAAAUCAUUCAAAUGGAAAUUAACAAACUAUUGGAAGUUGGAUUCACAUGUUCUGGAUUGGUUGGUGAACGUGGUGGUAGUCUCGAAGAAAGAUGGGAGGUGACGAGUUUGUGUUAACUACACCAACCUGAAUGACGUCUGCCCAAAGGAUAGUUUUUCCUUGCCCCAAAUAGAUUGAUAGUCGAUGCCACUAUCAAGCAUGGGAUGCUCUCAUUUCUAGACUAUUUUUUCAGAUACCACCAGAUCUCUAUGUACUAGCCAAAUGAGGAGAAGACAACCUUUAUCACACCAUAAGGGUCGUACUAUUACAAAGUCAUGUCGUUAAACUUAAGAAAGUUGGUGCUACUUACCAGAGGCUAAUGACAAAGAUCUUCAAGCCCUUGAUCGGUUGAACUAUGGAAGUUUACAUUGACGACAUUAUUGUAAAGAGUGAAACCCAAGCUAAGCACGUCCAUCACUUGGAAGAAGCAUUUUAUCUAAUGCGGACAUAUAACAUGAAGCUCAAUCUAGCCAAGUGUGCCUUUGGCGUCAGUUCAGGGAAGUUUCUAGGGUUUAUGGUAACCCAAAGAGGAAUUGAAGUUAAUCCGGCUCAAGUGAAAUCCAUCCUCGAAAUGCCUGCUCCAAACAAUGAAAAGGAAUUGCAACGCCUCACAGGAAUUGAAGUUAAUUCGCUUCAUAGCUCAUUUCAUAGACAAACUAAGACCUUUCUUCCUCACACUUAAGAAGUCAAGCACAUUCGGUUGGACAAACGAGUGUAAGCAAUCAUUUGAAGCAGUCAAGUACUACCUCACUAAACCGCCUAUUCUGAGCAACUCCAAGUCUAGUGAAAAACUUUAUAUGUAUCUAGCUAUAUCUAAUUAUGCUAUCAAUGUCGUCCUACUUCGGCAUAUAGAAGACAAAGAAUAGAGAUCUGUCUAUUGUGUGAGCAAAGCAAUGGUAGAUGUUGAGACUUGGUAUUCCCAAGUAGAGUAGACUACUUUGACACAAAAAAAAUGCCGCUUGAAAGCUCCGCCCAUACUUCUAGGCUCAUCAAGUGACCAUACUUACAAACCAACCGCUCAGAAUUACCUUGCACAAGUUGGACCUAUCCAAACUAAUGUUGAAAUAGUCAAUCGAAUUCAGCGAGUAUGGAAUCAAGUAUCAGCCACGAAUUAUUCUUAAAAGGGCAGGUUUUGGUUGACUUUAUAGCUGAACUCUUCCCAAAACAAACACAUAUGACCGACCACCUUGAAGAGCAAUGGUGGACACUUCAUGUAGACGGAGCAUCCAGAGCGUUUAGAUCCGGAGUAGGUUUGGUCUUGUAGUCACUAAUUGGGAAACUAAUAGAGCAAGUUAUCCGUCUCAACUUAUCGACCUCUAACAACGAGACCGAAUAUGAAGUUGUGCUAGUUAUGCUAGACCUCGCUCUAAUAUUAUCCUCAACCAAGUUGGAAAUCAGGAGCGACUCUCAACUAAUUAUCGGAUAGGUUCAACGAGAGUACGAAGCAAAGGAUGAACGUAUGGCUUGAUACCUCGCCAUGAUGGAAGAAUGCCUGAAAAAGCUAGAUGAGUACAAUGAGAAGAGAAUGGAAAGGUAGACACACUAGUCGAAAUAACUGCCACUCUCCCUAUAAAUGAGAUAGUAAUGCUACCUAUCUACCUCAAAGUCGAGCUUUCAAUCACACCUGAGCCAGUGUGCAAUACUAGUUAAACAGACUCAAGUUGGAUUCUCGACAUCAUGAAAUACCUCCAAACAGGAAGUACCAGAAAAUGGGAAGCAAGCACAAAAACUUCAUAUACAAGCAGCACGCUUCACUUUAAUUAAUGAUCAACUCUAUAGACGAUCAUUUGGAGGUUCAUACCUAAAGUGUUUGAGUGAGCUAGAAGCCAAAUAUGUCCUGGCCAAACUCCAUAAGGGCAUAUGCGACAAUCACCCAAGCGGACGAACUUUGGCACACCGCACCUACACGCAAAGAUACUAUUGACCCACCAUGAAGCGAGACACUAAAAGUUAUGUUAAAAGAUGUGAUCGGUGUAAAAAACAUGCUCCUAUUCAUCGUCUACCUUUAGAAGCUCUUAACCCAGUAACAAGUUUUUAGCCAUUUGCAUAGUGGGGAAUGGACAUAGUCGGCCUGUUGCCCAUUAGAGUAACACAAAAGAAGUUUUUGCUCAUUGCAACCGACCACUUCAACAAGUGGGUAAAGGCAGAAGUCUAUGCCAACAUCAAAGACAAAGAUGUCUCCAAGUUCAUUUAGAAAAACAUCGUAUGUCGAUUCAGAAUUCUACGAGCAAUUGUUACAGAUAAUAGGCCACGGUUUGAUAGUGUCAUCUUUUGAAAAUUUUCUCGAAGUUAAAUAUCAAGAAUUUAUACUCAACACCCUACUAUCCACAAAUCAAAGGGCAAGCGAAUGCGACAAGUAAGAUCAUAUUGAAUGCACUGAAAAAAAGAUUGGAAUGAGCAAAAGAAAAAUGGGUGGAUGGGUUGCUCAGAACCUUAUGAGCCUACCAAACAACAUUUAGACGUCCAAUGAGAGCCACUCCUUUUGUCCUUGCUUAUGCGAUGGAAGCCAUCAUUCCAAUCGCAAUUGGCAUGUCUAUUGCCAAAACAACCAUGCAAAUUAAAGGGACAAUGAUGAAGAACUCAUAACACAACUGGAUUGGGUAGAUGAAAAGAGGAGAUGCAACUAUCUGGAUAACUUCUUACCAUCAAAGGAUAAUCACUCAAUACAACAAAAGGGCACGACCACAAUUUUUCUGGCCAAGAUCUUUAGUCCUUAGAAGAAUAUUUGAGAACACAACUAAAGUAGGAGCCAAAAAGUUACUAGCUAAUUGGGAAUAGUUUUAUGUUGUAAUUAAGGCAAGAGACUCAGGGGUGUACCAUCUCCAGACACUAGAUGGUGUACCCAUGCUCCGCCCAUAAAAUGUCACCAACUUGAAGCAACAUUAUCAACAAAAGUUUCUUAUCAAAAUAAUAUAGCAAGAACAAACGGGUAAAACAAACACUUAAAAAAAAUGUAAUGGCAUUGAGGAAAAAAACUUAAAAGAGCAGUCAUUGUAUUUACACGUCUAAAAGUCAAAGCCACAGCCAACUAAAGAAAAGAAAUUAAAAAAAGAUCAAGUCCUCUUGCUAGGGGAAUCGUCCCUAAUAGAAGGUCCAACUCCUUGGGUAGAGCAACCUAAAAACUCGUCCUCAUCAUCAAAAGGAAAGUUGGGAGUAUCAUGGGCAAUGCCAUGCUUCUUCAUACAACAUCGAUAACCAUAGAAGAACAUGUCAUCCACCUAAUUUUGGUAGUCUGCCUCUAAGUCUUCAUUUUGAGAGGCAAACCUUGCCAGAAGAUUUUACAACUCCCGCCUUAACCGGACAGUUUUUUCUUCAGUUUUCUCCUUUUCGGUUGUCAUAAUCGUCUUCUCCUCAACUAGUUGGAAAACCUCAGCUUAAGGCACCUUCUUCUCCUCCUCGCCCUUCUUCAGUAGACAAGAACCUUCCUCAACCAGUUUCUAGGCAGCAGCAGCCUUGCUUUUCGUUGUCUCCAAGCUGGCAAGAAGAUCCUCACUUCCAUCCAUGUUAUGGGCAAUGUAUCUUCUCAUGGUUUUGACUACUUUUAGUCACUGGAGAAUGUGCGCUUGUUGUCACAAGAGGUUAUGAACUCCGGGUACCACCUGGGGAUAAUAGAGAUUAUUAUGAGACGAGAGACUAAAGGAAAAACGAGAAAAGUCACAAGCAAAACCACUUUUGCUAUCUCAAAAGUUGUGUAGUCCUUCAUAUGAAGGAUGCAAUCAAUGGAUGCAUAUGGAGUACCGGACGAAAGCCAUGCCAUGAAAGAUUAGAUAGAAUUCUCAUCCACCUUGACCAGGAUUCGUUGCAUAGCUGGGAAGAGAACCCCCAUGUUCGAUACUAGAAGCUCACUUUCGGUGAAAGAAGAGAUACAACUUAGAAGCUUGGAUAUCUCCUCCCGAUUGGGGACAUAGGUUGUCUUUGGACAGAGAGGAGAAGUAUUCAGACACUCGAAUGAGUCCUCACUGAUUUCUCCUAGGAUGAUAAAAGGUUUCCUUAUUUUGUGAUAAGAAAUGUCAUCAACAAAGGAAGGUUUCUCAUCCAUUUCCGAAAUGACAGCUACAAUAGUAGUCCAUGGUGCUGACUUGGAUGGAGGAUUGGGGGCAGGUUUCGGGUAGGCUUUCUUUGAAGGAGAGAGAUUGAUAGCAAUGGAUUUGGAUAGGUGCUUAUGUUGCCUCUCGUGGAAUUCAACCCUCAAGUUGGAGGCCAUCUCCUCCUCCUGUUUCUCCUCUUCACAAAUAAUAAGGGGCACUAGUCGCUAACCCCUGUUUUUGCUUCGUCAUUGGAAGACGAAGAUGACAGAGAUGGUGAAGAGGAUGAAGCUGACGAUGACGACGGCAAGACAGAAGAUGGAGUUCUCGCCUUUUAGACGGGAUGAGCAGUAGGCCUCUUCUUCUUUUGAGUAGGAGGAUGGAUAGCGGUACUGGAAGAUGGACGACCAAUAGCUGGAGUUUGCCUCAAUGUCCCAUUUUGGCAUUUUUUUUUUCUCCCAUUCCUCUAGACGAGCCUAGUAUGCCUCAAAAUUCGCAUAGAAAUACAAAUCCUUCAACACGAAGCGUUCGUCGGGUACCAAAUACGCAGGAGCUAGUUGAGUAAACACAAGGAUGAUAAACGACUUAGGAUUUUUGAUCAACGCUAGUAGGUUCUUGUCCGAUAAGAAAGCGCUGUGAGCCCGUUCAACAACGUCUAUUUUGAACAACUUGUUAAGUCGGGCGAAUGAAGCCUUUUCCACCCACUUUACAAGGCGUUCCCAUAUUUUCUUACUUGUAUUAAACGAACAUAAAGAUUGUGAAUAGAUUCACAACAAUGAGGAAAUAACAAUAAGAUAUAAAGAAAGUGAUAGAAGCAUGGCCUACUUGGAAUCUCCAAUGAACACUAUGGAGAAAAAACUCCAUUUGGACCCUUAGAUGAACCACUCCAAGGUCCGGAUGCCAAAACAUGCCCCUUGGCCCAGCCUUUGCAUGAAUCUAGAAGACCAAUCACCAAUUGGAGGGAAGGAGGGCAGAUAAGUUAAACCUUUCCUUUUGGCUCAUUUUGACAGUAUAGAUGAAUAAGACUUCCAAUAGGGAAAUAUCCAACUGGAAAAACAUGUCCAAUACACUACACCCUAUCAAUAUCUGAAUAAUAUUUAAAUGAAGAAAAGUUUGAGCGAUUUGUGUGAAAUGGAUAAAUUUUUUGAAGAUGGAAGGAAUGGAAAGACAUAACCUAGCAGCGAAUUGAUCCGUGGUAAAAUACAUCAUGUUAUUCGGAAGGUUAAUAAAUGAUAAAGCCUCGUUGUCUGUUAGCUGAAUUUAGAAUAGUAUCAGGAAUAUGAAAACGAGCUCGGAAUUCUCGCUCAGACAGGACACCAAUUAGACGUUCCAGUCAGAGACGCCCGACUCUAGUAUUUUUUUCGUCCACCCUACUGAGGCUUUCCGUUGGUAGAAGUAAUUCCUCUUCUCUCUAUUAAACUAAGUGGACCUGGGCCAUGUGGAAACCUGCACGAAUUAACGCAGUUAUCAAAACCAACCACCUGACCCAUCUGUCUUUCGGUGUUGCCUCAGUAAUAUAUAAAUAAACCUAGAUGGACUAAUAGUCUGAGUCUAGAUGGACUUGGCUGUGGAAACUUGUAGAGCAAGUUUCUUCGCUAAUGGCAAAGGAAAAUUCGCGCACAUCGCACCAUCCCGAUGAUAACGAAAAUAGUAAGUUGAUGACAUGGGCAUAGUGACAACACCAAAGCAAGAGAGGAGACUAAAAAGCGCUAAAUCUGGACAUCAACAUGUCCAUAUCUUCCCCAAACAAACCAUAAAAGCGAGUAGAGAAACUGAGAAACCCUAAAUCUGGACAACGAUAUGUUCAUUUUCUUUCUAGACUAGCAAAAUCAAAACAAUUCAAGGAACAAUCACAAGCGCAACAAAGGAAUGAACAUGUAGUAGAAAAGUUACCAAAAUCAAGACUGAAAACUCUUUUUAGUGGAGAAGAGAUCCUCCAACAACAAACCAGCCGACAGUGACAAUGAAAGCAAAGGAGAGCAAUAUAAACACAAUGGUGGCGAAAGAGCAAGGUAGGCAAAAGGACUUUAAGGAGGAAAAUGCCAAAAGGUGAGCCAAAUGUGUGGAACCUUAAUAUUUAUAGGGAUAAAAAACCUAGGCAACCUAAAAAACAUGCGGCCUGGCAACACUUGCUAAAGCCCACGAGGGACACGUCGCUUGACAGCCUCCCUCGGUCGAUGUUGACCCCUCAUUGAAGGCCCAAAUAACAUGCAAUCCUUGGCGCUUAAAAACUUGAAAAAACAAAUAACCCAUUCUAUCUCAACUCGUCAGCUACUUUGUUAAACAUGGGGAAACGGAUUAAGGGGCAUUGUGGGAGGCUUCCUUCCGCAUGCGCUCCCCAAACUCAAGACCGUUUGGUCGUCCAAGGUAAACAUAUAAUCCGUCCAAGAUUGAUCCAUUUGGACCAAGAUAAGUUUCGUAUGGCACAAAGGGCAAGAUAUUUCCUUCUUCUUCAAUGCCAGAUAUAAUGGACAAACCCAUCGAGCUUAAGUCUCUAGACAUUGAAUGAAUGGUUAAUCACACUUGAUGCCUGAGCGAUGGACUAGACGACAUUUACAUUCAAAAACCAGUGUCAAUUAGUCAUUACACGCAAUUAGCGACAUUGACAAGCGCAAAUGCACAAUCAACUAUAUGGUCCGAGAUUUUUGCACGAUAACCAACAAAUGACACCAGUUGAUAGCUCUUGCUUGGUAUGAUUGCCCAAUCCACGCUAAGGUAAAGGUGUUGACUGCCUUAUUAGUAAUCCGCCCUGAUGGCAAUCAUCAUCGUAAGAAAGACAUGAAUGCACAAUCAGCAUUGUGAUGAUGGUGUCAUCUACUCUAUAAAAACCCCUCUAAAAGCAUGAAAAAAAGUAUGCGCGUACAUAGUCAUUCAAAAUAGUUGGAUUCAUCCUUGUUAAUUCCUAACUUAAGCUUCAGAGGGGCAUGCUUGGACCACCUGUCCGAACAUCCUUUCAUUGUAGGGAAGAGGUUUGUCUGAAUCCAAUGAAGUUAGACAGAUCUGUAUCUAAUUAACACAACACCAACAAAUAUUAUUCAUUUAUUUUUAAAAAAAAAAAAAAAAACAGGUGGAUGGUUAGAGAAUUUAGGUGGUAGCAAUUAAAACUUCUUGUUUCUUGUUUCUCUCUUUAUCUUUUGUUUGUUGUGGUAAUGUUAAUAAUAUAUGUCAGCAACUAGGGCCCACCAUCAGAGAUUUUUUUUUAAAAUAUUUUAAUUAAAUUUUAGACUAAGAAAUUAUAUACACAACCCUUGGAAAAAUAAUUGCUCAUAUGAUAAAGUUUUUAUUUUAAUUUAUUUAAUUAUAAAAAAUUUAAAUUUUUAUAAAAAUAUUUUUCCCACUAAACAAAGUUGAUGAAUUCUGUAUUAAAAUGAGUCUGAUCAGAUUACAAGUCAAUUUUCAUUGAGUAUUCAAGGUGCCAAUUUCAAACUAUUUCUUCAACUCGUUUUUCCUUCAUCUUUUAUUUUGUGGGUGGGCGGUUUGGAAACGAAGUCAGCACCUGGGGUCUACCAUCUUCUCCAAUCCAAUAACUCAUUCAAGCAUUGGAAUCCAAAGUUGCUUAAUUUUGACCAAACCAGAUUUGAACCAGCUUCACUACCAACAAGUUAUUGGAUUUUCUCAAUACAAAUCAAUCUUUUCCAGAUGGGUGGUUUGAUUGUGGAUCAACUUUCUACCAACUCUCUUGACCCCUUUAAUCUUAACCAAUGCUUUUUUGAUGGAGAGAAAAACCGGCAUCUCUAUUCUAGGUAGAGGAAGGACUAGUUUUAAAUAUACCUAUUAUCUUACUUUCCAUCAAAGUGGACAAUUAGUUAUCAAAAUUUUCUCAUAAAAAUUUAUUAAAUCAUAAUUGAUAUUUAAAACUUAAAUGGCAUGUCAGUCCUUUCAUAAAAAAAUUAAUGUUAACACCCAACAAGUCCUUUUUUUUUUUAUUACACAUAUAACACUUUACCAAAGAUACUAUUAAACAAUUUUAAAAAAAAUAAAAAAUCUCACACUAAGGGUCUAUUUGGCCAUUACAUUUAAAACGGUUUUCUAUUUUUAAAAGUUUUAAAAUUCAUAUCAUUGUUAGGUCAUUAUUCUAUUGAACGGUUUUUAAAAACAAAGUGAAAUAGAAUUCUUUUUAGAGAAUAAAUAAAAAUUGUUUUUAUUAGUUUUUAAAAAUAAAAGGAAAAUACAAAGAAAUAAAAAAUAAAAAAAUAAAGUCAUAAAAAGAAAAUAAGGUAAAAUACAAAAUAUUUUUUCUUUCAUUCAAUCUUCAAAUAUGAUUUGUUUUUAAUUUUUAUUUCAUUUUUCUUAAAUUCUUUUAAAUUUUCAUCAGGCAAAUAGAUUUUAAAUUAAAUAAUAUUUUAUACAUAAAAUUCAUUAAUUUUUAAAAAUAAUUUGAAACUUGAAAACUUAUAUAAUUGCUACUAGAAAAUCAUGGAACUCAAAAUCCAUCUAAUCAAUACUAGAACUUCACAAACUAAACUUCAUUUUGAAUGACUUUGUUAGUAUAUUCUUCACAUAUAAUCAUAUUUUUGUUCUAGUUUUUACCAGACAAAUAAACUUUAAAUUAAACAAGAUUUAAUGCAUUAGAUUCAUUAAUGAGUCUCAUAUUUUUUAAAAAUAUUUAAAACUCCAAUAGUGAUCUAAUUAAUACAAAAAAUUUAUGAAUUAAAUUGAUCUAAAAUAACUCCAUUCUCUUUUACAUAGAAUUGUAUUUUUUCGAUUUUUUUCAUUAGACAAAUAUACUUCAAAUCUUGUUUAAUACAUCAGAUUUAUUAAAAAAAAAAUGUAGUAUUUUUAAAAAUAAUUUAAAACUCAAAUAUUAAUUCAAUUAACAUAAGAAAGUUAUGGAUACAAAUUAUUCAAAUUGACUAUUGUUUCUUUUCUACAUAGAAUCAUAUUUUCCAAUUUCUUUUCUUGAUCAAUAGAAUACUCUAAAUCAAACAAGUUAAUGUGUCACAUUUAUUAGCAAGUCUAGUAAGUUUUAAAAAUAAUUCAAGACUCAAAUAGUACUCCAAUUAAUAUAAAAAAUUUAUGGACAAAAAUUGGUCUAAAAUAAAUAUAUUGUUUUUUUUUUUUGCACAUAAUUAUUAUUUUUUUAUAAUUUUUCUUACUAGAGAAAUGAACUUCAAAUCAAACAAGACCUUGCAUUGAAUUUAUCAAUGAGUUUAAUAAUUUUUAAAAAUAAUUUGAAAUUCAAAAUAUAUAUCUAAUGACUAUAAAAUAAUAAUAGACCAAAACUAAUGCAUUAUGAGUCAUAACUUAACUAUUUUCCUAUAAAAAUGACUAUAUUUUUAGAAUUUUUCGCUAAGUAAAUGAAUUCUAAAUUAAGUGAGACAUAACUAGUACUUUAAAUUAUUUAAUAAAUCUUCUAAUUUUUAAGAAUAAUUUGGAAUUCAAAAAAGUAAUCUAAUUAAUUACAUACAAAAUCAAAAGUAUGCAUACUUUGUCUAUAAUAAAUAUGCUUUUAUGAAGAUAUUAAGAUUUAUAUUUUUAUAGCAUGUAUUAGCAUAGCAUAUUUUUUGUAUGAACAGUGAAGGGUAGCCUUAAGGGGCACUGAAGACGGUUUUGAAAUUGAUAAGCUUUGAUCUAAUUAAGGUGAUCAAAUUGUGAAGGCUAGCUCUCUGUCCCUGGAAGACAGCAACAAAGACAUAUACUUAGGCUAAUCUACUUCAUGGAACAUUUUAAUUACCUUUCAUUGGCUUGGACUAGUUCAUCUCUUGCAGCCAAUGCCUAUCUCCUUAUAUUUGCCAAAAUCAGCUUCUCUCGUCUAGCCGGCAUUGUUAAAGAUAAGCAACUUGGACUAAUUCAUCUCUUGCAGUUGCAGCCAAUGCUUUUCUCCACUUGCAUGCACAUUAAAUUAGAGACGACUUAAUUCCCAGGUCUGUUGAAGAUAAGCAACUUGCCUUCCCUUAACAAUUAUUAUAGGCCGACCUACCUUCAUCCACCACCCCCACUUUCCAUUUAUUUGCCUUUACUUUCAUAUUCUUACCCCAUAAGAUUAAGAUUAAGAGCAUGUGGCCUGGUAAACAAUGGUGACGUACAGGGUCUACCAUGAAAAUUUGGAAUUCAAAGUUCCUUUUUGCUGCAUCCAGAAGGAAAGGGAGGGAGAAUUAUGCUUUAGGAGUCUAUUUGUUGAUAAUGGGUUAAAAGUCCUUAAUAACUUGUAUAAUUGAUAAGAAGGAUGUAAAAUAUGGAGAGACCAAAAUACCCAUUAAAGUAAUCAUCUUGGUUAACAUUUUAUAUUGUAGGAAAAAUUUGUGGUCUGCUGUACCAAAAUUAGAUUUUUGACCAUUGGAUUUACAUAUUUAAUCAUGACCAUUGAUUUGAAUUGGAAAACAUUUGCUACCGGUUUCUUAUUGGAGGAUCCAAUUUUAGAGGAUACAAAUUUAGUAAUAAUUAAGUAAUUGCAUUUUAGAUUAUUAAAAUAUAUAACUUAUAAUAAAUAAAAAUAAUGUAUUAUCUAAUUUUAUCUUCCUUUUUAUUUUUAUAUCAAUAUUAUUUAAAAUAUAUAAUAAUAAGGGAGAAUUGUGUUUUGAGGUAAGUUGAGACUGAUAAUUAACCAAGAUCCUCACAUCACCCGUAUAUGAACUCAAAACCUAAUGAUGGAAUAGAAAUUGAGGAGAAGGAUGUCGUUACUUUCCAAAAAUCCUCAAAAUACCCUUGACUGUCAAAUUAAAAAAAUUAACGUGCUACUCUCACCUCUCUCUCAUUCUCUCUCUCUCUUUCUCUCUCUUUAUUUAGCUCCCCUAUUUUUUAAAAAAUUUAGAACUUUUUUAUUUCAUAUUUAACCAAUUUAUAAAAUAAAGAUUCUUGUUGUUAAAUAAUUUUAUUGCAAAAUUUAUCUUUUAAACAAAUAUUUUAAAUAAAAAAAGUCUACUUCAAUUUAUUUAUGAGAAUUACAUUAAAUCAAAAUGCAUUUUUAAUUGAUGGAUAUUGAAAUUCAUUUUUCUUAAAUUUUAUUUUUUAAAUAUAAUAAAUUUAGAAUUCAAAAUAAAACCAACUUCCUUAAUUCAUAAGAAAUAAUUUUUUAUUAAAUGGUUGAUAAAAGAUUAAAAACUAUUAUUAUAUAUUUUUAUAACCAUUGGUUUCGAUCAUCCUUUGCCUUGGAAAAUUAGUUAUUUGUACAAAAAGAUAAAAUAAUAACUUAUUUUAUUAGAAAGAAAUUUUAUAAUUCAUUUUUAUAACGGUAAAAAAGAUUUUCUUAAUUAUUUCUGAAUCCAACCAACGAACUCUUUUGAGAUUCUCUAGAUUUUAAGAAUUUUGAUACAUUCAACUAUUAGAAAAAGAAUUUCAAAAUUUUUAUAAAAAUAUAUUUUUUAAAUUUAGGUAAAUAAAUUAUAAAUUAAGAAAGAUAUAAUCAAUAAUUUAAAUUCUUUAAUGAUUUAAAAAGAUAUUAAUAAUAGUUUUGAAUUCAAAAAAUUGAUAUAAUUAAUUUUUAUUAAAUCAAAAUAUUUUAGAAUAUUAUAUUAGUAAUUCGUUACUAAAUGCAUAUUGCAAAUGAAAAACUUUACUUAUUUACAUGUUAAAAAAGUUGAACUUUAUUCAUUAUUCAUUCUAAAUAAAAUAUUAUUAAAAAUUAUUAUUAUUUAUUUUUGAGCAAGACAAUUAAGAAGAUGUUAAUAUUCUUAUAUUUCUAACAUAGACUAAAAUAAUAAUUUUUUUUAUAAACAAUAUAAUUUAUGAUUUUAUUAUAAUUUAUUUGUAAUUAUAAAACUAUUUUCAUUUUAAAAUUUGAAUUAAAUUAAAUUUAAUCUAUAUUAUAUAAAUUGAAAUUGCAAUGUUUUUACAAAACCAAAACAAAAAACAUAUUUUUAAAAAUAACUUAUUCAAACAAGUUUUUCAUUUUUCAUUUUUAAAAACUUGUCAAGCAUAGUUGUUUUAUAAAACAUUAGGGGUUUGAUUGACAACUAUUUUUAAGAAUAGUAUUCUGUUUUCCAAAACAAACCAAAAAAAUCAAAAAUAUAUAUUUUGACUACCAAAAAACUAUUUUUUGUUUUUAGAGAAUGUCUUUUAGCUGUUUUCACUUGUUUUAUAAAAUAUGUCGCAUGAUUAAAAAUAAAUCACUAAAUAUAAAAAUGAUUUUUAAAACACAUUUAAAACAUGUCAAGUUCCUAAAAAGACUUUUGUUCUACAAAAUCUUAUAGAACAUUUUGCAAAAACUGUUCUUAAAAAUUAUUUUUCAUAACUAUUUUAAAAAAUUACUAAAUAUGAUCUAAAAAACAAUGUUUUUUUUCUUUAUCUUCAAAAUAAUUUUUAGAAACCAAUUUAAGACAACAUGGUAAAACAAAUAUAUGUUUCCCAAACAAAAAAGUUGAUGAAGUAAUUGAUAAAUGGGAAAUUUGAAAAUCUUUCAAGCAAUUUUUCUUUUUCCAUAGGAUCAAAGUAAAAACUCUUCCCUUAUCAGAACUUGGAUCACACAAGUUGAUGGAAAAUGAACCUUGAACUUUAUAAAAAAAUAAUUAUUUAAACUUGAGAAAGAAAUUAAAAGACCUUUAUAAAAUAAUUACACCAUAUACAAUAUACAUUUUUCUAGUUGUCUGUCAAAUAAAAUUAACAUUCUUAAUUUAUUUUUAUUUUUUGAAAUAUUUAUGAAUUUUCCUUUUGUUUUUUUUUCUUUGAUAAAAUUUAAACUAUGUUCCUAGGAGAGAAAAAAAUUGUUAAAGUUACAUAAAAUAUAAGUUGAGACACUUGUAAAACACUUUCAUCGGAUUAAAAUAUCAUCUUCUUUGACCUCCAAAACGUACCUGUCUCAAGCCUUAAUCCAAUUCUUCUUUUUUUUUUCUUUUUUUUUUUAAAUGGGACAAACCAAUGAGGGUGAAUGAUAGGUUGCUCACCCAAUGCCCGACGACUCCUGCAUCAAUAGGCGUCGUAACAAUCACCAUUGCCAGCCUAGUCCUGGCAAUGGUGACAAGGGUUUGGAGAAGUGGAUGGAUGGGUAGAAAAGGAAGGUAUUAUGGGUAUUAGACUUAUAAAUUUUAUUUAUUUAUUUAAAAAAAAAAAACAGGUGGAUGAUUACAGAAUUUGUGUGGUCGCAAUUAAAACUAGGACCCACCAUCAUUUCAUUCUCCAUACCUUGGAGAAGGGUGCUGCCCUUAAUCUUUCAAUUAAAUUUUAGACUGAGAAAUUAUAUACAGAAUCUUGGAAAAUAAUUGCUCAUAUGAAAAAAAAAUUAUUUUAACUAAUUAGUUUAAUAAUAAAAAAAAUAUUUAAAGUUUUAUAAAAUUAUUUUUCCUACUAAACAAAGUUGAUGAAUGUAUAGAAAUGAGUCUGAUGUUUAUAAUCAAUUUUCAUAGAUUAUUCAAGGGGCCAAUUGCCAACUAAUUCUUCUAAAUGUAAGUAAAUUAUAUGUUUAUUUUCUACCCGUUUUUUCUCCUUCUAUUACUUUGUGGGUGGGUGGGUGGUCACUGGUUUGUAAACAAAGUCAGCACCUGGGCUCAACCAUCUUCUCUAAUAAUUCAUUCUAGCGUUGGAAUCCAGACUUGCUUUUGGCCAAACCAGAACUGAGCCAGCUUCGCUACCAAGAAAUUAUUGCAUUUUCUCAAUACAAACCAAUCUUUUCCACUUUGGUGGUUUGAUUUUGGAUCGCUUACCUUCAUUUUUCCUUGAUUCAUCACUCACUUUUCUCUACAAACCAACAGACAUGGCUGGGGCUUUAGUUGGGGGAGCUUUCCUCUCCGCUUCUCUUCAAGUUCUAUUUGACAGGUUGGCUUCUCGCGAGGUUGUGAGCUUCAUCCGGGGGAAGAAGCUCAGUGAUGCGCUCCUGAAGAAGUUGGAAAGGAAGUUGCUGGUCGUCCAUGCAGUGCUCAACGAUGCUGAGGUCAAACAAUUUACAGAUCCAUAUGUGAAGAAGUGGCUGGUCUUGCUUAAAGAGGCUGUGUAUGAUGCGGAGGACAUAUUGGAUGAGAUCGCCACAGAGGCUUUGAGACAUAAGAUGGAAGCUGCGGAGUCCCAAACCAGCACAAGUCAGGUGGGUAACAUCAUGGACAUGUCUACCUGGGUUCAUGCCCCAUUUGACAGUCAGAGCAUAGAAAAGAGGGUGGAGGAGAUCAUUGAUAGACUUGAAGAUAUGGCACGAGACAGAGCCGUCCUUGGGUUGAAAGAAGGUGUUGGCGAGAAACUGUCACAAAGGUGGCCUUCUACUUCUUUGGUGGAUGAAUCUCUUGUCUAUGGCAGGGAUGAUGAAAAACAGAAGAUGAUUGAACAGGUGUUGUCUGAUAAUGCAAGGAGGGAUGAGAUAGGUGUGAUUUCCAUAGUGGGCAUGGGCGGCCUUGGCAAGACCACACUUGCUCAGCUUCUAUAUAAUGACCCAAGGGUGAUGGAACACUUCGAUUUGAAGGCAUGGGUUUGUGUUUCCGAAGAAUUUGAUCCUAUUAGAGUUACAAAAACAAUUCUGGAGGAGAUUACUUCAUCCACUUUCGAGACAAAUAACCUAAAUCAGCUUCAAGUUAAACUGAAAGAGAGAAUUAAUACGAAGAAAUUUCUACUUGUCUUGGAUGAUGUUUGGAACGAGGACUCUAGUAACUGGGCUAUGCUACAAACUCCACUCAAAGGCGGGGCAAAGGGAAGCAAGAUUGUUGUAACGACCCGCAGCACCAAUGUUGCAGCUGUUAUGCGCGCUGUUUAUUCUCAUUGUCUUGGUGAACUAUCCUCUGAAGAUUCCUGGUCUCUGUUUAGAAAACUCGCAUUUGAAAAUGGAGACUCGAGUGCGUAUCCACAACUAGAAGCAAUUGGUAAGAAGAUUGUGGACAAGUGCCAAGGUUUGCCACUAGCUGUAAAAGCAGUGGGGGGCCUUUUACAUUCUGAGGUUGAAGCGAGGAAAUGGGAUGAUAUACUAAACAGCCAAAUAUGGGAUUUGUCCACUGAUACAGUUCUUCCUGCAUUGAGAUUGAGUUACAAUUAUCUGCCUUCACAUCUAAAGCAAUGUUUUGCUUAUUGCUCAAUUUUUCCCAAGGACUACGAAUUGGAGAAAGAGAAGCUAAUUUUGUUAUGGAUGGCUGAAGGUCUUUUACAAGAAUCAAAAGGCAAGAGAAGAAUGGAAGAGGUAGGUGACUUGUACUUUCACGAGCUUUUAUCGAAGUCGUUUUUUCAAAAUUCAGUUUGGAAAAAGAAGACACACUUUGUAAUGCAUGACCUAAUUCAUGACUUGGCUCAACUGGUGUCUGGAGAAUUUUCUGUUAGUUUGGAGGAUGGUCGGGUAUGCCAAAUCUCAGAAAAGACUCGUCAUUUAUCAUAUUUUCCGAGAGAAUAUAAUAGCUUUGAUAGAUAUGGAACACUUUCUGAAUUUAAGUGUUUGCGAACAUUUUUACCAUUGAGGGUUUACAUGUUUGGCUACUUAAGUAAUAGAGUUUUACACAAUCUAUUAUCGGAAAUUAGGUGCUUGCGGGUGUUGUGUUUGCGUGGCUAUGGUAUUGUUAAUUUGCCCCAUUCAAUUGGCAAGUUACAACAUUUGCGCUACUUGGAUCUCUCUUAUGCUUUGAUUGAAAAAUUACCUACAUCAAUAUGUACUUUGUACAAUUUACAAACAUUGAUAUUGUCAAUGUGUUCGAAUCUAUAUGAAUUGCCUUCAAGAAUCGAAAAUUUGAUUAAUUUGUGUUAUCUUGACAUUCAUCGUACCCCACUAAGAGAGAUGCCAAGUCAUAUUGGCCAUUUAAAAUGUUUGCAAAACUUGAGUGAUUUCAUUGUGGGGCAAAAGAGCAGGUCGGGGAUUGGAGAAUUGAAGGAACUUUCAGAUAUAAAGGGAACACUUAGAAUUUCAAAGUUGCAGAAUGUGAAAUGUGGCAGGGAUGCAAGAGAAGCCAAUUUGAAGGACAAGAUGUACAUGGAGGAGUUAGUGUUGGAUUGGGAUUGGAGAGCAGAUGAUAUUAUACAAGAUGGAGACAUAAUUGAUAAUCUUCGGCCACAUACAAACCUAAAGAGACUCUCUAUUAAUCGUUUUGGUGGUUCGAGAUUUCCAACAUGGGUAGCAAAUCCUUUUUUCUCUAAUCUCCAGACCCUAGAGCUUUGGAAAUGUAAAAAUUGCUUAUCAUUGCCACCACUUGGGCAGCUACCCUCUCUUGAACACUUACGGAUCUCAGGAAUGAAUGGAAUAGAGAGGGUGGGUAGUGAGUUUUAUCAUUAUGGGAAUGCUUCUUCCUCCAUCGUAGUUAAGCCUUCCUUCCCAUCCUUACAAACUCUAAUAUUUGAGUGCAUGCAUAAUUGGGAGAAAUGGUUGUAUUGUGGAUGCAGACGUGGAGAAUUCCCUCGUCUCCAGGAGCUUUAUAUAAUCAACUGUCCAAAACUCACUGGGAAAUUACCAAAACAGCUUCGAUCCUUGAAGAAACUUGAAAUUGUUGGAUGUCCGCAGCUGCUUGUGCCUUCACUCAGAGUCCCUGCAAUCAGUGAAUUGACGAUGGUCGAUUGUGGUAAAUUACAGUUGAAAAGGCCAGCUAGUGGCUUCACUGCUCUUCAAUUCUCACGCGUUAAAAUUUCAAACAUCUCUCAGUGGAAGCAACUACCAGUGGGAGUGCAUAGGCUCUCAAUUACAGAAUGUGAUUCUGUGAAGACUCUAAUAGAAGAGGAACCGCUCCAGAGCAAAACUUGUCUUCUCAAAUAUUUGGAAAUCACAUAUUGUUGUUUGUCUAGAUCCUUGCGCAGAGUUGGUUUACCCACUAAUGCAUUGGAAUCACUAAAAAUCUCUCACUGUUCCAAGCUAGAGUUUCUCCUAUCUGUGUUGUUGAGAUGCCACCACCCUUUCCUAAAAAAUAUACACAUCAGAGAUAACACCUGUGAUUCUCUUUCAUUAUCCUUCUCCUUAAGCAUCUUCCCAAGAUUGCGUUGUUUUGAAAUCAGUAAGCUUCAGGGGCUUGAAUUCCUCUAUAUCUCCAUUUCAGAGGGGGAUCCCACAUCUCUUAAUUAUUUGAAUAUCUAUGAGUGCCCUGAUCUUGUAUAUAUUGAAUUGCCGGCUCUCGACUCAGCAAGGUAUGAGAUCUCCAGAUGCUUGAAGCUCAAGUUAUUGAAGCACACCCU
This 44851-nucleotide long non-coding RNA is filed under the name Vitis vinifera (wine grape). RNAcentral describes it as "long non-coding RNA (VVIN_LNC003911)". The record is from RNAcentral. Lineage: Eukaryota; Viridiplantae; Streptophyta; Magnoliopsida; Vitales; Vitaceae.